UUCAUUUUUCUCAGCCUCAUUUUCUUCAUCCAUUCAAAUGGGUUUAUUCUUGGCAAUAGCUCUAGGGAUUUUUUUUUUACAAUUUAAUGAGCAAAUACCUGCCAAAUAUUCACUAUGGUGCUUGGCACAGAGUAGGAGUCUCAUAAAUGUCAGCUGUUAUUAUUUUUCGCUGUUGAUUCAUAUUAUUAUUGAUAUUUUAGGCUAUUUUACUCAGUUGUUCCAUGCUAAAAUGCAAAUCAAAGCAAUUGUUGAAGCUAAGAUGGAGGUAAUUAAUUACCGCUUUUGCCCAUAAGAUGUUUAAUGACCACCAGUUAAGAGUUCUGUCUUCUAUAUACAUGGCUUCCCACGCUUCAUUUGCAAAAUAGGUGCUUACAUACACAAGAUUUCCUUUUAAAAGUACUUACCAGCUCAGCUGCUGUUUUUCUGAUUAACCAACUUUCUCUUUAAAGACUUGAAGUCAUGAAGUUUAUUUUUUGUGACAUUCACUCAAGGAUAGAAACAAGGAUUAUCAAUGGUUUUCCAGCAGGCUCUUAUGUCAGUUUCAUCAUGCAAACGUGCAGAUGUUGUUUACACGAAAGACACAUUUGUAGAAAGAAGGUAAUAUUGACAGAUAAAAGCUGCUGUAAGGGACAAUUCUGAAAAGUGUUGUUGUGCCAAUUCUAUUAUUUUGCUACCACUUUCCACAAUUGUUAAUGCCUUCAGUAUGAGUGUUUAACUCAAAAUUAAAAUAUAAUUUUUGGUAAAUUUUAUUCUGUUCAACAUUUUUUUUUCCUGAGGCUGAAUGUGCAUAACCAUUCAAGCAAUCAAUAAGUUUUAAAAUCAAGUACCUUCUAGGUACCUAAAACCUUUCAAAGACUUCUAAUUAUACCUAGAAUAAAACCCAACUCUGCCUAUGUUCUACAAGUCUCUAUGUGAUCUCCUGCUUCCUGCUGCUCUCAUGUCUCCUUGCUUUCCCUGCCCUGCCCCUUUGGCCUGCUCUUCCAUCCUAGAGAUUUGCAUUUGGUGUUUAAGUGUCUAGACCUCCUAAUAUCAAAUGUUUGCAUGGUGUGUUUCUUAUCGUCCAUGUCUUACCUUAAUUUAUCAACUAUUUGAAUUUUCUCUGCCAUAAACUAUUAAGUAGCCUGCCCCAAACCAGGUACUUCCUAACACAAUUCCCUUUAUUUCAUCAUUGUUCUUAGCAUUAUUUAAAAUUAUAUUUAUGCAUAUAUAUACAUAUAUAUUCAUAUUGUAAUAUUUUAAAAUUAUUUUUUUAUCUGACCUGUAUUGCUGACAAAACUUAAGACCCCCAAGACCAGAAGCCAUUUCUGUCUUAUUCCUUGGUGUAUUACUUGUGUUUAGAAUUACAUUUUUUGGCUAAGAGAAUAAUUGUAAUACCAGGUACAGAGGGGGAUACAGAGAAGUUUCAAAGAGUAUCAUAAUUCUUUAGAAGGCUUCUGUCUAAUGGGAGGUUUAAGCCACCGGUGUAUGAGAAGCUAAUUAAACAAGCCGGUAUAAUUAAGUGAUGAAAGCAAAACAUAUUGGGAGGCUGAAUAUGGAGAAACCACUUUAUGCUGAUCAAGGGUGGAUUGAUAGUGGGGGUAGGUUUUAAGCUGGGCCUGAAGGAUGCAUAGGGUUUAUAAAGGAACACAGUCAUCGUUCAGCUCUUCUUCACACAAAUCCAAGUGUGUAAGUCGUUUCACUGUAACUGCAGCCCAGGGAUAUUUGCCGGAGCCCAAGUGAAUCAAAGGAAAGAAGUUCAUGUUGACUUUAGUGUUUGCUGCUGUCCUCGUAGAUUUCACAUGGAUUAGAGGGUCCUCCAAAUGGGGUGCUGCCCACUUUAACCGCUUUUUCCCAUGCUUCUUGCCCACUGUGCCUCAUGGUCCAGGCGGACUGCUUUUCUCCCUGAUUACAUUUCCUAGAAGGUGCCCUGCUCACCCUUUUUCCUGGAUGCUCACUCAGGGGUGUUACUAGGCCUGAACUCUCACCUGGCUGUGCCACUUCACCCAGCUGAGGCCUUCUCAUUCUUCACUUUGUAGUUGAGGAAUCUGGCGUUCAGAAGCCCCCUUCGUUUCCAUCCAGACUAGCUUAGGUCUCCUACCCUUUGGCUUGACCUUUCUGUACCUCUUUCAUGUUGCCCAGGACAAUUCCUCAUCACUUCAUGUCAAAUCGCUGUGUUCCCCCACCAGGCUGUGGACUACAUGAGGAUGGGAAUUCCCUUUUUACUGCCCUCUGUACCUUAAGAGCAGCCCCAAGCCUAGCGCAUCCCAGGGGCUAAGUAGAGACUUCCCCAAAGGAUGAAUGAAUGUUGAGGAAAGGCAAAAAGGCAGCAUUCUGAUAUCCUUAAGCGGGAUAUCGGAAUGCUGAGGUUAACUUGAAACCAUUUUCGAAACCAUAGGCUCUUACUUAAAGGAAACCAACAUGAAAAUGCCAACACCACCUUAUUUACAAGGUGCUUUGUUCACUUGAGCUAUUAAAGGGCUGCGCUGAUGGGAAGCUGUGUAUAAUUGUAGGUAUUAUGCCGGAGACCACUUUCUGUCAGGCUGCCAGACCAAAGGGGCAGGGACCGUUCUCUAGAGGCCCUCACCCAACAGGAUUAUUAAACGAAUUUGUAAGGGUUAAUAGAUGGGUGGUAGCUCCUUAAAACCAACUCUAAAUGCAUUACUUUGACCACAGACACAUAAUAUGGACCAUCAUGCAGAGCCUGGUGAAGGCUGAAGUGCAUCUUUGCUAGGUCUGUGCUACGCAUAUCAGUUAACAGUGGUACUUGAGGUCUCUCCUGUGUUCCAGGCACAAUUCCAGAUGCUUUGUACGUACCAUUGCCAGUCCUUCCAGAUAACCACUGAGGCGUAGGCAUUCUCAUUUCCAUUUAUAAUUGAGGAAAUUGAGGCUUAGAAAGGCAUUGUGGCCAUAGGAAACUAUUAAAGAUUGCCUUUUUUCCAGCCCGGCCAACAUAGUGAGACUCUACCUCUAUGAAAAAAUGAAAAAUGUUGUCAGGUCUAGUGGUGCAUGCUUGUGGUCCCAGCUAUUGAGAGGCUGAGGAGAGAAGACCCCCUUGAGCCCAGGAAGUUGAGACUGCCCUGAGCCAUGCUUUCAUCACUAAACUCCAUCCCAGAAAAAGAGAGUGGACUCCGACUAAAAAAAUAAAUUGUAUUUCCUUCUUUUUUUUUUUUUUUUUUUCUUUUUGAGAGGGAGUUUCACUUUGUUGCCCAGGCUGGAGUGCAGUGGCAUGAUCUCUGCUCCCUGCAACCUCCACCUCCGAGGUUCAAGUGAUUCUCCUGCCUCAGCCUCACGAGUAGCUGGGAUUACAGAUGCCAACCACUAUACCCAGCUAAUUUUUAUAUGUUUAGUAGAGACAGGGUUUCACCAUAUUGGCCAGGCUGGUCUCGAACUCCUGACCUCAUGAUUUCCCGCCUCAGCCUCCCAAAGUGAUGGGAUUACAGGUGUGAGCCACCACACCAGGCCAAGUAUUUUCUUCUUAAACAACGACAGCUGAGAGUCUCUAAAUUGCUGUCAUGGUAUUUCCUAUGAGAAAAUAUUUUUCUCGAAAAAAAUGGAAUCACAUACACAUUUUGUUAAAUAGAUUGAUCACAUUAUGAUGUUAUGGUCACCUGUUUUCUUAGGCUUCUGUUUGAUUCUAAGCCUUCUUCACAUUCAAAAUUUAACCUGAUUUCUGCAAGGUCAUAAAAUGAAGUUGUGAAAUGCACAGCAAAACUGACUGUACCAACUCUCAGCCCUUCCUCUCUUGGCCUGUUCGGCUACAUUCAAAAUCCUUCAACUUUCUGUAAAAAAGAAAUGAUAUGGAAUCUAUCCCAUGAGUUCGACGUAAGAAUUGAAAGAGUUGGCAGAGAUUCAGCAUUUGGAUCAUGACUAGCUGUUCAUCGGUACAUACCGGAUUCUAGCUCUUACCCUGGGGCAUUUGUGGGGAGUGGUAAGGGCAGCGCUUCAUUCAUCAAUUUGUCCCACAACCAUCGUGGAGACCCGCUCCUGCCUGGCAGUGUCCUGGGCAGUGACAACAGAGUCAUGGGCCGGCGGUGAUCUCCUGUCCUGCAAGACCUGCACUGACUACCCUGACUCUUUGUAACGAAACCUUUAAGAUCCGUCAUGCAAUAUUUUAGCAUACUGAAAACGCGAUUUCAACAGAAUAUCCUGUAUUUUUAUCUUUUUAUUUUCUCCCUUAGCCCAUAUUUUUGGGAGUUUGCUGGCUUUGUUUUAAGGUUUGUUCAGCUCUUGUGACAGAAAUAAUGCUUCAGAGAAUACACAGUCCUUCCAUUAGCUUCUCUCAACUUGAGACGUGUCAGCAGUUCCUAGUGCAUUGGCCUCGUUAGGACAGUUGUCUGUAGACAAAUUUCUUUUCCUUUUAAUAUUGCAUCUGAGUAUAAUAUCUUUGAAGACACUUGAAGCCUCUACUAGAUACUUCCAUUUUAAUUGAAAUCUGAACCAGUAACUUGCUACUGAUCUAAAUACUGUGGGGUGAAAGGCUCUCCCUCCUGCUCUCAGGAGCAGGUGGAAGCUGGGAUGGAGGAGGUGAGAGCUGGCCUGGUUUCUCUGGUGUCCCAUCGCUCUAAGAUGCCUCAUCAAGUAACUCAGGGUGUUAGUUCCCAAAACAGAACGAGGCUUCAGUGAAUGGGAGUGACUUUCUCAGAACAGAUGGGGAUGUAAAUGUGUGUAUUAAUAGGUAUGUUUCACUCUAGAUGUGUUAGGAAGAGGAAGUGGUGGCCUGAUGAAGACCUGAGCUCUGUUUCCUUCUCCUGUGCAAGUAGGACAGCACCUCACUCAUCUCCUAUUCCUUCCCUAUGGGAUCUGUAGCCACUGAGGCCAAGGCCUCCAUUUCCUUAGCAUUUAUUGGAAAAAAACACUGGUAGUCAGUUGUUUUAUAGUCAGUGGCUUUGGUAAGCAGUGAAUUGCCAAGACUCAGGAGGCUGGGGAUGAGAUUAUCACUUCAAAAUUAUAAAGAUGAAUGCCUUGGAAGAGGAGAUGCUAUAGUGAAACAGGGCUCUGGAUACAGGUAGGUGAGGCUGGGAUUGUAGGUUGAUUGAGGAUAUAUUGAGUAGGGGAGGUGAUUUGGAGAAGCUACACUGAGAAGAAGGAACCUGAAAUAGAUUUCCUUUAUGUUCUACAUGCUCUUGGUGAAUGACCUUAAAUGUAUUACAGCAUUUAAUGGUCUCCAUUCUCUACACAGCCUUGGGUAUUGGACACUCACUUGGAGGCACAGAGGGACCCCAUUGACACAGCUCCUAGUGGCAGCUGCUUCCAAUUCUAAAGCAAUGUACUCCCAUGGAAGGCAACUGAGACCCAGUGAGUGGGAGUCCAGGGUGUGUUGGGGAGCAGAGAACUGUGAUAAGAGUGAAAUGUAAUUACAGUCUAAGAAAUCAUCACACACUGGGGCCUGUUGAGAGGUGGGGAGCUAGUGGAGGAAUAACAUUAGGAGAAAUAAGUAAUGUAGAUAAUGGGUUGAGGGGUACAGCAAACCACCAUGGCACUUGUAUACCCAUGUAACACACCUGCAUGUUCUGCACAUGUAUUCGAGAAUUUAUAUAUAUAUAUAUGUAUAUGUAUAUAGUAUGUAUAUAUGUAUAUAUAUGAAAUCAUUCUCAAGAUCUUUUAUAUAUAUAUAAAAGAAAUUAUUCUCAAGAUUCAUCUACAAAUCCAGUACAAAAAAACUAAUUAUUAAUUCAUUUUCUCUUGUCAAAAUGUGUCCAUUUCGGAACAGACUAAAUAUAAUUCAUGUAAUAUUUGAUAUAUUUGCUUAUUCAUAAAUGAAUCCUCAACUAAACUCUAGCUUGUGGUGUUACAAGAAUCCGUGGGGACAAAAGAAGGUCAGAGCAUGCUUUAGUCACAGGGGACUAGGUUUGUUUUAUGUCACAUGCUCUGCGUAUCACUAGGUUACUUUUAUGCUAGAUUUCUGAGUCACACCAAUCAAUAGAAUUAGCCCCUCCUUUCUCUCCUUGCCUUCAUUUAAACAUCAAGGUAAAAUUCAAAGGCUUGCAGAGACUACUUGGGUCAUUCAAGAGAUCACUGUUCUUCUGGGAGUUGCCUUUGUCUUUUCAUCACUGCACUGGUUUUAUUGUCCAGAUUUGGGUUGCUGGCUGCCCAUCACCCAAGGCCUCCUGCCCAAGCCCAUUUGGGAACUGAGCACAGCACAUGCAAACACUCUUGUCAUGGAAUAAGGCGAGGGAAUAGAGAACAGGUUUUAUUUUUCCUGAACUAUUUAAUUGCUGUCCUACGCGGGAACUCCCAGUGAUGACCAGGGAUUUUAUACAACAUUGUAGCUCCAUUCAACAGCAGACUACUAAUUAGUUCAUUUACUUGGGUACUAAACUCAUCUAAGAAGAGGAGCAGAGCCUAAUUAGGGAACUCUCAAAGGAUAUUAAACCCCAAUCUUUUAAAGUUACAGUUUUUAAAAAACACAAAUCCACAAAAGUGUACACACUUGCACACACAUGCUUGUAUGCACACACAUACUGCCACCAAGAAUCCACAUGAAUAGUAUUCCCAAGUAUUUUGUGAUAAUUGAUCAUUUGAAAGGAUUUCAGUUGCUCAGUUGUUGUUCGAUGUUUGUCUUGUGAUAAAAGAAGACCAAAGCAACAUGAAAUAUGCUCACAAUGAAAAAACCAACGAUACAUAUUCCCUUCAACUUAAACAUCUUAAAAAGAUACAAAAAUUUAUUGUUGGCCAGGCGCAUUUUCUCAUGCUUGUAAUCUCAGCACUUUGGGAGGCCAAGGCAGGCAGAUCACAAGGUCAAGGGAUCCAGGCCAUCCUGACCAACAUGGUGAAACCCCAUCUCUGCUACAAAUACAAAAAUUAGCUGGGCAUGGUGGUGUGUGACUGUAGUCUCAGCUACUCGGAAGGCUGAGGCAGGAGAAUCGAUUGAACCCAGGAAGCAGAGGUUGCAUGAGCUGAGAUAGCGCCACUGCACUCCAGCCUGGCAAAAGAGCAGGGUACCAUCUCAAAAAAAAGUAUUGUUAUUAUUGCUAUUGCCUGUGUUAUCACUGUGACCUUCUUCGAGACUAAAAAAAUCAUAUCUUGUUUAAAAUUUGUUGGUGUGAUUUUCUUCUACUGCUAUUUUUUUUUCUUGCAUUUGAUGGGAUUUUUAUGAACCUCUGAUCUUGUUUAAAUUGAUGUUUAUGUUUGGGGGAUCCCCUUUCAUUUGUGUGUGUAGUUUCUAGACAUUUUCCUAAUGGCAGUUAUGUUCCAGGCAUUAUACUAGGUACUUGGUGGGACCCCUAGAAUCAGACACGAGUCUUACCAUCCCAGUAGCAGCUGUAUGUCAGCUGUCCAACCAAUGGUGAAUGAUUGAUUAGAAAUACAAACAUUUAAAAGAUGUGGUUCCUUCUAGGAAGUGAAAAAGGAAUAGAAUUAAGCAAAUGUAAUUGAACAAAAUAUGUGUAUAAAUAAAGACAUUUGACGAAAGGAAAUAUCAGAAAGAAGGGAGAGAUAAGGAGUUGUAGAAAUUAGCAAGUCUUCACCGAGAAAGUGGCUUCUGAGCAGGGCCAUGAGGGAUAAAGGAGAAAAUGUCAGGCAAAUGGGAGAGACAUCAAUUUAAUGAAGAAGGAGAGAGGAAGACAAAUGAUCUAUUUAGCGGGAAUUUAAAAUAUUUUGCUAUGGCUGACGACAAUGUUUGAGGCAGGUAGUGGAAUUAUAGCAUUUAAUGUUCUCCCAUUCAGCAGAAUGCAAAAUGAAGUGUUAUUUGAAAUGGGGCACACUCAUGUAAGGCCUUAUAUGCUGUGCUUCAGGGCUUGAAGACGGUCACAGCAAAAAUGUAGGCAAUAGCAAUAAUAACAAUAAAUGUAAGCAUUUACUGAGAAAGACCAUGUACCAGGUUUCCAUUUGCCACUUCCCCUAUCCCUAGAGUUUUGGCCAUGCCAGAUGAAAUAGUUCUGCAGAUCCACUCCUUGACCUCAUGCUAGUAGGGAACGAUACUGCACUGAGUCCUUAAAAAUUUAAGUGUAUACACUGGGUGCAGUAGCUUGUGCCUGUAAUCUCAGCACUUUGGGAGGUCAAGGUGGGCAGAUCACUUGAGUGCAGAAGUUUGAGACCAGCCUGGCCAACUUGGUAAAACCCCGUCUCUACCAGAAAUAUAUAUUUUUUAAAUUAGCUGCAUGUUGUGGCACGUGACUGUAAUCCCAGCUACCCUGCAGGCUGAGGCAGGAGAAUUGCUUGAACUGGGAGGCAGAGGUUGCAGUUAGCCCAAAUGGAGCCACUGCACUCCAGCCUGGGUAACAGAGUAAGACCCCAUCUCAAAAAAAAAAAGAAAAAGUGUAGACCUCAGGUUACAUAUUUUUUAAUCACAAUUAAAAUCAAAUGCUACAUGAAUUGUCUUAUUUGGCUAUUGCAAUAUUCCUAGAAGUUAGGUUCUGUUAUACCCUGGUUUAGUCAGGAGGUCAGCUGAGCUGAGAGAGAGUGAGAGAGAGAGAGAGAGAGAGAGCGUGCUGAGCUGCCAGGUGUUGGAGUAGCCAAUUAAAGCAACAACCCAUGAAUGAGUGAAGCCUUUAAUCAUUUACUGUGAUAGUGCGAACAAGAGGCUAAGGCCAGAAAAGCACCGACUCCCCCGUUACAUUUUUCCCCAUGGAAUGGCACAUCGGUCAGGUGGAUCAACACAGAUGUGGGGUCAUCUCACAGGUGGAGGGAGCCCUUAACAAAAGGCUCUAGGAGUUUUGUGGACCCUGAGGUUGUGGUAGGGAGAGAACAAGAAGGAAGGUCUAGGAGUGGAAAAGUACUAGAGUAGAGUGGGGAAAGGAUCUUCAAGGCUUCCUCCGCUCCACCACAAAGAGGCCUCUGCAGAGGUGCCUAAUGAAGACCUCCCCCAAAAGGCCUCAGAUAAAGUGACCUGGGAAUGCAGGAGCAGGAGUUAAGAAUGCAAAUUUGUGCAAGAGCCUGACCGGACAGGUGGUUCUGAAGCCUGGACUCCAACUCCCUUCAGAGAUUGCCGUCUGUUGGCUGUGUACCAAGCUGGUGAGGCAAAGCCUUCAUCAUAGUCUACGUUCAGGCCUGAGAAAUCACAGGUGGGAUUUUAACCCGGAGCCACACUCCUCUGAUGACACCACAGCAGAGCCAGAAUUCACAUUUAGGCAGUUUGCAUCUAGCCCCUAUGCUCCUACCAUUACUCUCUUCCACCUCUGCAGGCUCAGGGAGCCAGUGAGUGCUUUUGCUCACUUAGGCAAGCAUGGGUGGAUCUGCCUUGGAGGAGAAGUACGCUGGUAGAUGAGCAGGAAUAUCAAAAGACAUCAACAAAGUAGAUGAGAAUUUCUGUAGGUUAGGUGUGGAUAAAACAGGAAAAAGAGAAAUGACAUUCAGUUCACGGCAGCAGGCAGGGCUCCUUGGAGGAGAGCGUAUGUGAGCAGAAUUUUGAGUAGAUGGGAUUUAAUCCUGUUGGGAGGGCUGGCACAGCAUCCCAGGUGGUGAGAAGAGCAAGGAUAAUGCAGCAGGAAACACACUGUGUGAGUGUGUGUGUGCAUGCGCUCAUGUGUGUGUAUGUGCACGUCUGUACACAUGCGCAUGUGUUUGCAUGCAUGUGCCUGUGUGUGUGUGCACACUCAUGCGUGUAUAUGUGCACAUCUGUAUGCAUGGUCAUGUGUUUGCAUGCAUGUACCUGUGGGUCUGCACACACUCGUGUGUGUAUGUGCACAUGUCUACGCAUGCACAUGGUUGCAUGCAUGUGCCUGUGUGUACACUUGCGCAUGUGUAUGUGCACAUGUCUGUACGCAUGUGAAUGUGUUUGCAUGCAUGUGCCUGUGUGUGUGCACGCUCAUGCGUGUGUAUGUGCACGUCUUUACACAUGCGCAUGUUUGCAUGCAUGUGCCUGUGUGUGUGUGUGUGUGUGUGUGUGUGUGUGUUUAAGGAAAAGCAGUGAGUGGCUUUGUUGACUGCUGGACAGCAUCCAUGUAGUGGCUCAGAGGACGAGGAUCAAAGAGGAGAGCAGAAAGGACCCUCUGAGUACACUGGCUUAACUCUUAUGCAAUGCACAGAACGAGGAGGUUUAGAGUGUUGAUAGCUCUGUGAGCUGGUUUGACUCAGAAAAUGAAUACCAUGGAUUCAAGGAAGGAGAGACUGGAGGCCAGAGGACAGUGGGGAGCUGUGAUGCAGGCCAGCGGUUGCUUGGUGUGAACCUGAGUGCCUCUCUGACUCUUUCCCAAAUAAGAUAAGCCCAGCCAGGAGCUCCUUCCUGGCCUCUCAAGCAUAAAUGAGAUAAAGGAAGGGUAGUAAAUUGUUGUGAUGUGGGUGUUGCCUGGGGUAAAGAGAUGAGAUGAUAACAGAACCUGGAUAUGUUCAAACCUGCGAAGUUCCAACUGUGCAUGGCUGGCGUGCUUCAUCAAAUCUAGUGCGGCAGACGUGAACAGAGGGACUGGAAUUGGUAUUGCCAGGUGUUUACAGGGCCUCUUUGGGCAUUUAAUGCUACACAUCCUUCUAGGCAAAUUUUCUGGAUUAAAUUGCGCUUCCCAGCCCCUUUAAAAAUAAUUAUGCUGUCUUCCUCAAAAUGUGGUAUUAUUUGGAGAUAGUGUCACAGCAGAUGUAAUUAGUUAAGAUGACAUCAUACUGGAAUAGCGUAGGCAUCUAAUCCAAUACGACACCUGUCCUUAUAAGCAAAGGACCAUGUAAGGACACACACAGAGGAUACCAUGUAAAGAUGGAGGUAGGGGCUCCAGUGAGGCUUCUCCAAGUUGAGGAACACCGAGAAUUGACAGGAGAGAGGAAGGGAACAGAUUAUCCUCCCUCAGAACUCUCAAGAGGAACCAACCCACCUAACACUCUAAAUUUCUGGUUUUCAUUCUAUUUUAUUAUGAUUUUUUUAAGAGACAGUGUCUUACUCUGUUGCCCAGGCUAGAGUGUUGUAAUGUAGUCAUAGCUCACAGCAGCCUCGAAAUCUUGGACUCAAGAGAUCCUGCCCCUUUGGCCUCCUGAGGAGCUGGGACUAUGGGCACACGUCACUAUGUCUACUUUUUUUUUUUUUUCUCGAGACAGAGUCUCACUCUGCCACCCAUGCUAGAGUGCAGUGGCAUAAUCCCAGCUCACGGCAAUCUCCACCUCCUGGGUUCCAGCAAUUUUCCUGCCCCAGCCUCCCACAUAGCUGGGAUUACAGGGGCAUACCACUAUGCCUGGCUAAUUUUUGUAUUUUUAGUAGAAACGAGGUUUUGCCAUGUUUUCCAAACUGGUCUCAGACUUCUGACCUCAGGUGAUCUGCCAACCUUAGCAUCCCAAAGUGCUGGGAUUAUAGGUGUGAGCCACCAUGCCUGGACUCAUUUUUUUUCUACGAUUUUUUUUUUUUUUUUUUUUGGUAGAGAUGAAGUCUCACUUUGUUGCCCAGGUUGCUCUCAAAUUCCUGGCCCCAAGUGAUCCUCCUGCCUUAGCAUACCAAAUUGUUCUGAUUACAGGCAUUGGCCCCCAUGCCUGGUCAAAAUCUGUCUUUUUUUUUUUUUUUUUUUUUGUGACGGAGUUUCUCUCUUGUUGCUUAGGCUGGCUUACGAUGAUGCGAACUUGGCUCACCUCAACUUCUGCCUCCUGGGUUUAAGCCAUUCUCCUGCCUCAGCCUCUGGAGUACCUGCCUAAUUUUGUAUUUGUUUUUUCAGUGGAGACUGGGUUUCUCCAUGUUGGUCAGGUCUUGAACUUCCCAUUUCAGGUGAUCCGCCCACCUCAGUCUCCCAAAGUGUUGGGAUUACAGGCGUAAGCCACCAUGCCCGGUGCCAAAAUCUGGUUUUAAAAACUCAUCUAGCUUGUGGGAAUUUGUUAUGACAACCCUAGGAAACUAACAUAGCCACAGUUUAGGUUGUUUCCAUACAUCAUAUAAUCGUAUAUUGUAUAUUAUAUACAAUACAAUUAACUUUCAUUAGGGAUUUUAAAAUCUGGAUUUACUUUAGACCAUGUGAGCUCUGAGGAAGAAGUUUUUAAUAAGUACGGGCCAAGGCACAUUUUGGAAAUUGAUAUUUUUUGGUAAACAUGAUCAUCUUUAAGAAUUGUUUAAAAGGCUGCUCUAACCGUCUGUAUGAAAUGGCACAUGUUAAAUUAGUCAGCUGGUCUCAGUGUUAAUCAAAGAGGGGGUCAAGGGUCAGAACCAUCAGCUACACAAGAAAAAUCCAUUCCCUCUCCCCACAUCCUGAGAAUGGACUUCCUGGCCUACAGCCAAGGCCAGUGGUGAGAUGUGAAUUUGCCCAAGUGGAAAAAAUAAUUUCCGAUUAUGAAAGUAAUGCCUGCUCUUUGCAAGAAAUUCAAAAAGAAUAAAAUAUGUAUAUAAAAGAAAAUAAAGAACACCUAUAAUCCCACCACCCAGAGAUACCAAAAUCAAGUGGGUGUACAUGUACACACAUACUCUGUGUGUUCAAAAGUGAGAUUAGCCCAUAUGUAUAAUUUUCUUUUCAGUUUUCUGUGUACUGCAGGGAUCAUUCCCUAGACCUCAUCUCUUUAAUAUCUGUAUGAUACACCAGGGAUGAGUAUGACACAAUUGACUUAAUAAUUCUCCUGUGGAUGGACCUUUAAGUUGCUUUAGUUAUUUUUGCCACUUUGAACCAUGUGGCAAUCAACUUUAUGUGGGUACAUUUAUAAGUUUGUCCGACUACUUAUUAUUAUUAUUUUUUAGAAUCUCUUUUUACAGUGAGCUGCAAAAGUUUAAUGGUUUCUAAUUAAACUAUAGUUGUGCUACACAAGAGGUGAAUUGUCCAUUCUAGAAGGCUUGGGCUCUAUUUAAGCGGACGGUUAUCUAAACCAAGAUGGUGUCAUUAAAUCUGCCUCCCUCCAGAUGACCUCAUUUAUGCGAACAGAGCUCUUCAGGGGCAAAUAAGCAUAGAAGAUAUGACCUUUGCCAGUAAAGAAUCUUACUGUUCAACUAUAGCAGGUGCAAUAAGUGAGCAAUUUUACAAACUUUUUUUUUUUUUUUUUUGAGAUGAAGUUUCGCUCUUGUUACCCAGGCUGGAGUACAAUGGCGCGAUCUUGGCUUACUGCAACCUCCACCUCCUGGAUUCAGGCAAUUCUCCUGCCUCAGCCUCCUGAGUAGCUGGGAUUACAGGCACGUGCCACUAUGCCCAGCUAAUUUUUUGAUUUUUAGUAGAGACGGGGUUUCACCAUGUUGACCCGGAUGGUCUCGAUCUCUUGACCUGAUGAUCCACCCCCCUCGGCCUCCCAAAAUGCUGGGAUUACAGGCUUGAGCCACUGCGCCCAGCCACAGACUGAUUUUUAACCACAUGGACAUAAUGACUACAGGCGUGUGUGUGUGUGUGUGUGUGUGUGUGUGUGUGUAUUAGAAGAUCCAGUUCACCAGUACAUGUAGCAAGGCUAGUAAAGCCAGUGAAUGGGGUCAAGUGUGAACUUAUUGGAAAGGAGACAAAAGACCUGAGACACUGAGAUAGAUCAGCAAAAAGGUGUAUAAGGGUAGAAGUGAGAGUGAGCAAUUAUAGCAGAGGGGGUGGAGUGGCUUAGGUACAUACAUUGGUCAUCACCCUAUGUUUUUUUUAUUCUGAGAAGACUCCUCACCUCUCUGAAGCAAGCAGAUGUCUCUUUAAUAGCUUCCAGAGCAUUUCUGCCUCUCUAGAACUUAGCAUAGCACCUUUGCAUGAUGGAAACAUUUCUUCAACAUGUAAAAUAUGUGAAAGGACUAUAGAUUAUGUUAAAAAUGAAAUUGCCAAAAUGGGUCUAAGACAGCUUAGGUGAAGUUCUUAAAAAAGGCAGAAGAGAAGGAAACCCUUAGAACCUUGCAGGGAGACUUUAUAGAACAGGUGAACUGCAAUGAGGCAUUUUGAAGCUCAAGUGUGUUCCAGUGUAGGGGACUGAUAACUGGGCUGGAAGGCCGGGGCUCUGCUUCUUCAGCCUCAUCCCACACGUGACAAGGACCCUUGAUAUCUCUUCUUAGGAUUCGGUCUACCCUUAGCUAUCAGAACAAUCCUGUUCUCAUGAGAAACUCUAGAAGCUUUGGUUCAGUAGUCCAGCAAUGGGGACUCUGACCUUGUGUGUUGGUGCUAGUAACGAGGUGAUUGCCUGCCUUUUCCUCGUACCCAGACCCAGUAACUUAGAUGCACUCAGUUUUCCAAGGCCUAAGUCCUUGCAUGGAGAAACUGCUUGGAAAGUCAUCUUUUCUGGAACCAGGAAUGACCUUGCUCUGCUAACUUUUCAGCACUGCAGGCCAACCCAGCAGAUGGAGUCUUCUCCAUAUCUCACUUAAUAGAUUUGCUGAGGUAUAAUUAACACACAAUCACCUGGAUAUAUUUAGAAUGUGCAAUUUGAUACAUUUUGAUGUAUUUACACAGCCAUGGAACCAUUAUAGCAAUCAAGAUAAUAAACCAAUCUAUUAUCUGCAAGUCUCUUCUUACCCCUGUAAUCCUUCGCUCCUGCCUCCGUACAACCACUGACCUGUUCUCUGUCACUACACAUUCAUUUUCCUUUUGUAGACUUUUAUCUAACUGAAAUUAUACCACAUGUACUAUUUUUUUGGCCAAGCUUCUUUUUCUUAACGUAAUUAUUUUGAUAACCCUGUAGUUGCAUGUCAAUAAUUCAUAACUUAUAUUGUGAGUGGCAUUCCACUGUAUUGUGUACCACAACUUGUUGAUGUACUCAUCUGUUGAUGAACAUUUGGGAUGUUUCUAGUUUUUGGUUAUUGCAAAAAAGCUUCUAUGGACGUUCAUGAAUAAAUCUUUGUAUGAACAUAUGUUCUUGUUUCUCUUGGACAAGUACCUAGAAGUAGAAUGGCUGGAUCAUAUGACAGGUUUAUGUCUAACUUUUUAUGAAACUGCCCAGUUGUUUUCCACUGUGGUUGUAUCCAUUGAUUUUGUUACCAGCAGUGUAGUAGAAUUCUAGUUUCUCUCAAUCUUUGCCAACCUUUGGUAUAUGGGACUUAUUAAUUGUACCCGUUCUAAUAGGUAUAGAGUGGUAUCUCAUGAUAGUUUUAAUUUGGAUACUCCUAAUGACUAAUUUUGCUGAGCAUUUUUUCAUUUGCUUAUGAGUCAUCUGUUUGUCUCCUUCAAUGAAGUGUCUGUCAAAUCAUUUGCCCAUUUCUGUUGGGUUAUUUGUUUGCAUAUUACAGUAUCUUAAGAGUUCUUUAUAUAUUGUUGGUACAAGUUCUUUAUUAGAUACAUGAAUUGCAAAAAGAGAGUGAUUGCUAAUGAGUCAGGAUUACUUUGGUGUGCAAUGAAAAUAGUCUGUUAGGUUGUGGUGAUGGUUGCACAACUCUGUGAAUAUACUAAAGCCAUUUAAUCGUACUUUGUCAGUGGGUGAAUUGUAUGGUUUACAUAAAUCAUAUUGUAAUAUAUGGGUUUUUUCAUUAUGAAAUAGUGAAAUAUUUUACUUCUCUAGUUUCUCAGCAAUAUAUUGUUAGUUUCAAUAUAUAGGCCUUCUCUCUCUCUCUCUCUCUCUCUCUCUCUCUCUUUCUCUCUCUCUCAUUCCCUCUCUGUGUCUCUCUGUCUCUCUCUUCUCUCUCUUUUUUGAGACAAGUUCUGGCUCUGUUGCCCAGGCUGGAGUGCAUUGGUGUGAUCUUGGCUCACUGCAACCUCCAUCUACUGGGCUCAAGUCAUUCUCCCACCUCAGCCUCCCAAGUAGCAGGGACAACAGGCCCACAGUACUAUGCCCAGCUAAUUUUUGCAUAUUUUUUGUAGAGAUGGGGUUUUGCCAUAUUGCCCAGGCUGGUCUCAAACUCGUGAGCUCAAGCUCUGCCUGCCUUGACCUUCUAAAAUGCUGGGCUUACAGGCAUAAGCCACCAUUCCCAGCCAGGUAUCUCUUUCUCCCCCAGAUUUAUCCUUAUAUAUAGUUUCCUAUUUUUGAUGAUACUAGAAGUGACAUUUUUUAUUUUAAUUUUCAGUUUUGGGCUACUAGAAUGUAGAAAUACAAUUUAUUUUUGCAAUGAGUCUGUAUCUUGUGACUGCUAAACUUACUGCCAUGGUCUGAAUGUGUUCCUUAAAAAUUCAUCUGCUGGAAACGUAAUCCUCAAUGCAAUGGUAUUGGGAGGUGAGGCCUUUGGGAAGAUAUUUGGGGCAUGAAGGCUCUGCUCUCAUGAGUAGAUUAAUGCCAUUAUAAAGGUCUUGACAGAAGUAACUGUCUCAUAAUGUAGAAUUUUCUGGUGAAUAAUUUUAUUUAGGACAGUGUAGAUCACAAGAAAUACAGUAAAUUACCAAAAUUAAAAAGAUGGUUGGUUCAGCACACAAAGCCAAAUUUCUGGUUUAUCUUGAAAAGUAGAAGGCCUGGCAACAUUGGACAUAUAUACCAAUUUGCUCAGGCAACAUAAAUGCCACUCCAGGUUACUUUGAUCUUGGUCACUUACCUAACCCUUAAGCAUGAAUUUUGGUUUUAAAUUCUGCCUUACUUUGAUGGGCUUGCCUAGGCUUACCAAGAGAUUCUGGUAUACUCAUUUAUUUAUUCAUCAUGCAUUCACUCAUCAGUCAAUACUUACUGAGUAUAGCAAUGGCAUCACAAACAGUGUGAUAGUUGCUUUCUACAGAGAGACUAACGCACACUCUAUCUUUCCAGAGAGCUCACAGUUUUGCAGGAAUAAUUGAGAUGCUGUUAUACUGUUAGAAUUCAGCAUAUAUUUCUCCAUGAAUACAGAAUGAGUUGGGAGGUAUCUUGCUUUCCAGAGAGGGUAACACUUGGUGAGAGUCUCCAGAGUAUGAAGAAUUGCCAGGUAGAGAAAAAGGUGUCAAUGCUACAGCAUGUAGCAAGGCACUGAAAUACAAACUGAAAAUAUAAGUUUUGGAAAAUGUUAUCCAUUCUUUGUGGCUGGGACUAAGAGAUGGGGAGGAGUUGAAGCUAGAGACAUCAGCUAUAAAACAGAAGUGCCCACUAGAAGAGACCAUUGCUUGGAGUUAAAUAGAUUGCCCCCCCCACCACCCCCAGGAGGCACAAAUUACUUACUUAACACAAGUAGGCAACCAUUCUCCAACCAGAAAGCAGAUCACUGGAUGUUGUAUAAAAUCUAGAAGAAGCACCUCCAUCACUCAUUGCUUCUUCUGAAUAUUCUGUUAUGAUUUGGUGUGUGUGUGCGGUGUGUGUGUGUGUGUGUGUGUGCAGGUAUUGUUCAGACAAUUUAAUUCACAUCAUUUUUUUCACAUGUCUAAUUAAUAUUAUUUUUCUUUUGCCAAAACAAUUUAUAUGUAAUGUCUCAAUGGAAGUUAAGGGCACAGAAUUCUUUGGAAAAAAUUAAAAUGACACCUCAGCACUAGUAAUUCAAACUCAGAAAAUUCCUGUUUCAUGGUCUUCCAAUAGUGUGAUUUCUUCAAUGCUUUAUUUGUGCUUGUUUCAUCAUGACUGAAGCCAUUUCCCACCAACACUUCAUCUCAGCUAAAAUUUUCUUGGCAAUAUCCAGGUGAAAUACAAUACCCAUUAACCCUCAUUAACCCUGUAGCAUCUUCUGUUAAGGGGAGGUGUUUCCCAGUACAACUAGAAUUUAGGUUAUGAUGAGAAUAUGGUGUUUGUUAGAAAGCCUCUAAAAUCAAAUCUAAGAUGGGGGUGGGGCAAACAAAGGAAAAGAAAAGAAGACUGAAAGGCCGGGGAAAGACAGUAUUGCAACCAAUGUGAAUUUAUUAUUGUUUACCUUCAAGAAAGCAGGGGAACUGUUCAUAUCUUUCUUCCUUAAUUGCUUGGUUGACCUCAGGGGGAAAAUGAGUCUAAGUUAAAUGCACAACAUAUCUUCUGACAAUACUCAGUCCAGCCCCAGUUUCCUUUCGGCUGAGUACCCAUGUGGUUUCUGUGCUUCUGAGCAGAGAGAGUCAGAGUCACUUUAAUAGCCCUUGAGAAAGUGCUUCAGGAGGUAUUUGCAGAGAGCAGAGUACCAGGCCACAGCCUUGUCUCCUCCACAUGCCCCAGAUAUUGAACCUUCCAGUAACUACAAUUACAACCAAAACCACAAAAAGUAGAUUUACAGAUUGUUUUCAGCAACACCCAUUCAAAUUUACUUAUAUUUACACUAGAAAAAUUAGGGUAAGUGCUAUUGUGACCAGAGACACAGACCAGGAUCAAUAACCAACCAAUUCUUGGCUAAUAAAGCACUUCUCUCAGGUCUACGGUUGCUCUAUUCUGACUUUGAGGUUGGCCUCUAAUGUCUUAUCCAUUGACUUUUCCCGUAAAUAUGUCUAAUCAAGGCCAUGUAGGAUUCUAAAGAGAAAUGAUACACUCGGUUUGGUAAGAAUUGCUAAUUAACCAAGUAUGUAAAACCUGUAGCUCCUAUGGCUCAUAGUAUUUCUCCUGUGGUGAAAAUCUAGACAUGACAAGGAACUAACAGUAAAAUAUUAACUUCCAUUUUAGGCAUGUACUUGUAUUUUUUUUUCUAAAAUUCUCCCUCUCCCAAACCUUAAGGAUUCCAACAUUACCUUUAAGAUAAUUAUUUUUUUAAAACAAAAAUAUCAUAGCAAUGUUUUCUGGUAUUGUAAAACCUCUCACCAGGAAAAUAAUGUGCAGAAUAUUUUCAUGUUACACAGGCAUUCUUUAAUCAUGCUUAACCUCGGUUUGUACAAAGUUCUCUUUUUUACAGCCACAAAAGCUUACACUUCAUAUUAGAAAGGUCAAGAGAGAUUAAUUUGGUUCCUUGUACACUUGAAUCAUUAAUUUUGUUCUGGUAACAGAGCAGGCUAUUUAAUCAAACCUAAAGGAAAUAAAAUAAUGAAUGACAAGGGAAGGAGAACAGGGAGAAAUCUCAAAAGGGUUUCUGAAUAUACAGUUCCUGUUGGGAGUGUCAUGCCACUGUGCCCAUUCAUGCAGAGGUGUUCUGAAAAAGCCAGCUCUGCCCAGGGAGUUGGCUUGGUGUACUCAGGCCACCCCCACCUUGUUAUCCCUCUUCCCUGUAUCAGAGGAAAUUUCCCCAACUCAGUUGAUUAAGUCUGGUAAAAAAGGCCAAGGUUGUGCUUUCAGUUACCACAGGGGCCAGUUAGUGUGGCUUUGUUUUAAGUUUCCAAGUGUGCCCGUGUUUCUACCCAACAGGCUUCUACCUGAGAAACCACACUCAAGCAUGGGCUGUAGAUCACAAGAGAAUAAAUGUGACUUUUUUUUUUUUUUUUUUUUUUUUGAGACGGAGUUGUUUCGCUCUUGUUACCCAGGCUGGAGUGCAAUGGCGCGAUCUCGGCUCACUGCAGCCUCUGCCUCCUGGGUUCAGGCAAUUCUCCUGCCUCAGCCUCCUGAGUAGCUGGGAUUAUGGGCACGCGCCACCAUGCCCAGCUAAUUUUUUUGUAAUUUUAGUAGAGACGGAGUUUCACCAUGUUGACCAGGAUGGUCUCGAUCUCUUGACCUCGUGAUCCACCCGCCUCGGCCUCCCAAAGUGCUGGGAUUACAGGCGUGAGCCUCCGCGCCCGACCCGAAUGUGACUUUCUCAGAGUAAAGCUAUCACUAGUGUUGAGGGAGCAUCUAUGCAGAAAUGCUUGCAAUGCAGACCAACGCCCGAGAUUUCUCUGGCACCCUGGGACUUACUUUUCCCAACAUGUUUCUUAUUUUCCUCCACUUUUUAAAAAAGAAAGCAUACUACAGCAGUGUUCUGUUUUGGGGUGUUGUGGGGAAGGCUUGGAUUACAUGGGCAGAAACUUAACAUAGACUGUGCUUAGGAUAGUUUAAUGAAAGCAUUUAAGUGGUUUCAUCAUGAUGUAAUAGCCAGAGCAUAAACGCUACAGUAUCUGUGUACCUGAACGCUGGUUAGACCAACUGGGAGUCAUUAGAGCGGUAUAUUAUAAAUAUGAUGUAACAUUUUAAUAUAACUUAGUAAAGCAAACCGACAAAAUAUGUUACAGCCAAUUACUCAUUUGAUUCUCGAAGCAAACUUGUACGAAAUGAUUUAUGUUUAUUACAAUAUUAUAAAUGAGGAAAUUACAAAUUUUCAUUCUGAAGGAGUUACUGUCAAACUGAGGAAACCCCGAGAUAAACUAUUUUCUGGCAAAGGCUGUUCUCCAAGCAUUUGAACAGGUGCUAAGGAAGAACUGCCUGCUCCAGGCUCAAGUUUAAGGGACACAUUGAUGGAAUUGAUGAGUCCUCAGAAAUUCAAUCUUAAAAAAUUAAGCAUGUCUCUCCAUUAAGGCAUUAUUUAAAAGCUAAAGAGAUAAGCCAGAAAGUAAAAGAAGAUAUUUGUAACCCAUGUAACAGACCAAAGCUGGAAUUAAACAUAUGUAAGGAACUCUUACCAAUAAAAAUGCAAGAUAAAUAUAUCUGAUUAAUAAAUAGAAAAGGCAUAAACAGAAAUUUUAGAGCAAAGGAAGUACAUUACUAUUUAAUAUGUGAAACAUUCAUUUUAGCUUUGGUGGUGAUCAUGUAAAUGCUGAUGAAGAGUACAAAGGGACAUCAUUUUGUACCUAUAUUUUGUACCUAUAUAUUGGCAAAAUCAAGGAGUCUGAGUAAAACACUAAUAUGUUGCUGAUGGGAAUAUUUGCUAGUGUAACUACCUUGGAAAACAAUGUAAAGUAUCUUUUGAAGUCAAACAUUCACCAAACCCAAGCACAUGUGUUUCAGGAGAUUUGACAUGAAUCUUCUUAGCACCACUCGCUGUUCAUAAUAGCAAAAGAUUGGAAAAAACUCAAAUAUCUAUCAACAGAAUAAAUAAACAAACUGUGGUAGUAAACACAUUGAAAUAUCUUCAACGGUAAUAAUGAAUAAACUAUAGCUGUAGACAACAGAGUGGAUGAAGUCUAGAAAUAUUAAUUCAGAAAUAAUAUUGAACAAAAAUAGCAACAUAAAGAGUAGAUACAGUAUAAUACCAUUAUGGUUAAUAUUCAAAACCAUUACAAUUAAUCAGUUUAUUUUCCAAGCACAAUACAUAUAAAUGUAUACUAAACUUGGCAACAUAAAAGCAAACCUAAAAUUCAGAAUAAUGAAUACUUCAGCAGAUGGAAUGGGGAGGGGCAUGUGGAUGCAAAUUAUUUGGUGAUGAAAGUUAAUUGACAACCAUUUUGGAAUCUUAUACAUUGAGUGGGAAGUGAGACUGAAUUACCUCUAAAUUAUUUCUCAAAAUAAGCCAAAAGGCUUUUUUCAAAAAUAAUGAAGUGUCAGUCACUGAUAUUAUUAAUAAUAUUAUUAAGCUUUUGCCACGAUUACAUCUGGUUCUACUUUAGAGCAGUUUAAUAAAUAAACUUGAUCAAAGCAAUGACUCUUGAAUUAAAGCCUUUGGGAUUAAAGUCCUACUGUCUGAUGCUUAUAAGAGACAUAAAAUAAAAUGGCAUGGAAAUAUUCAAAGUAGGCAAACUCAAACAAAAUGAACCAUGAAUCAUAAUAGUACUUGUAAUAUAGUAGAUGUUUAUUGGUAUUAAAGAUAUAAAAUAUAUAAUAAACAUAAUGCAUAAUAAAGAAUACAGAAUAAAUACAUCGUGAAUUCUUCUGCACCAAAUUAAAGAACACUUAAAUAUAUAGAGCAAAAAUGCUUUUUUUUUGUAAAUGCUUGGAAAAAUACAAACAAUAUAAUUAAAACAAAAUACUUAUCUUUACAGAUAUUAAUUUUUUAUAAUGAUUGUACUCUGUGAGGCAGAUUAGUUGCUUUUCCAUGUGGUCACAUGUAGAAAGUAACUACAGUGAAUUUUGAAUGCAAGCCAUCUGGCUCUAAAAUCUUUGCUUUUUUCUUUUGAGACAGAGUUUCACUCUUGUCAUCCAGGCAAGAGUGCAAUGGUACAGUCUUGGCUCACUGCAACCUCUGCCUCCUGAGUUCAAGCGAUUCUCCUGCCUCAGCCUCACGAGUAGCUGGGAUUACAGGCAUGUACCACCAUGCCUGGCUAAUGUUUGUAUUUUUAGUAGAGACAGGGUUUCGCCAUUUUGGCCAGGCUGGUCUCAAACUCCUGAUCUGAGGUGAUCCACCCGCCUCGGCCUCCCAAAAUGCUGGGAUUACAGGCAUAAGCCACCACGCCCAACAAAGUCUUUGCUUUUAAUGAAUGUAAUGUCCCUCAAAGAUCGUAUUUAGAAUAUAUGUACAGUAAGUACAUAUAUAUUUAAUUCUGUUCAUUAUGAACAAAAUUAAAACAUUACAUCUUCUUUACAAACAUCACUGAACUAUUUAAAAAAUGUUCAUAUUCUGCAUUCUGGCUGCUCAACUUAUAGACUCUAUGACUAGCAGCCUGCACCUCCUCUGGGGUCUUGACAGGUAGGCAGCAUCCUCAAUGACUCCAGAUUUCCAGAAUCGGAAUUUGCAUUUUUACAAGAUCUUAGGAGGAUUUAUAUGCACAUUAAAGUCUGAGAAGCAUUUAAAAAAAAUCAGACCUUCAUCAAGUUAUAAAAUAGCUAAGGCACAUCCUUUCAUCACAAAUCAAUUAACAAUGGAAAAUAAUAUGUUAACCAGAAGUAACUUAAAAUUGAAAAACAAUUACUUUGAAAAACUGCUUAAGGAGGACAAGAAUAAACUUUCAGCAUCAGAUUUCUCAUAAGCCAACAACAUGAGAACAAAGCAUAGUCUUGUCAAAUGUGACUAUGCUUUGUUAAAAUUAGUGCUAAAUGGUAAACUUUCGAUGCGUGUUGCCAAAAGGGUAUACAUUGAACUAUAAUUCAAAUAAUUAUUAAACUAUACCCUAAGAAUAGAAGAAAUAGAACACUGUAAAUAUUAAAGCAGGAAACAAUGAGUUAAAAUUAUGAAGAAGUAAAAUGUAAUGGUCCAAAACCUAGCUUUUUGAACAACAAAAAAAUUAUGAAUUUCUGGGAAAUUCAACAAUGUUUUUUAAAAACCUGUAAACAAGCAACAACCAAACAAAUAAAACACUCAGACAAUUAGGAAGAGAAAAGGGACUGAAUCCGACCACUGAAGUGACAUGGACACAAACAAAGGUGACCUAUUCCUUUUGCUUCAGGACCAAAUUCCCUUUACAUUCUUUUCUCUUGCUUCUUGAUAAACAAUUAGGACAUUGAGGAGCUUCUCUGGUCCUUGUUUUCAUCUUCUUAUUGAUUCGAUUAUACAAUAAUGUAGCUAAGGGCACCAUAUUCUUUGGAUAUUCAUUGAAAUGCUGGGAGGUAUUUAUGAAUCUUUAAUGACAUAGUUCUCAGUCAAUUCCCAGUUACUGACAAUGCCCUUUGUGCAGAGUGUAGGGUGAGGCAAAGUGCAGAAGGAGAGCUGGGAGAGAGCACACAGCCCCUGCCUUCAGAGAGCCGACUACCCUGCGACUUUUCUGGCAAGAGCAUCACCUGCCUAACCUUGCCUCUGGUGAAUUGAUUCUGGCUAUAGGAGAAGAACCAGGCAGGGACAAUAGAGGUUCCUAUGGCAAAUGACUCUGUCCAGCAAGGGAUUUCUGGGAGAGCCACAGCCCCUCAUUCCUCAGUUCCAAACUAGAGUGACAGAUAUGGUUAUAUACUGCCAGAGGCUUUGAAGAAUCACAACAUUAAUUUGAUAAUCAAAACAUGCUUAAGGAAGGACACUUGAUUAAACAAGGAAGUUACAAUGAAUACAUGUAUAUACAUAAGUAAAGUCUACUGAAAAAAAAAACAUACCAUCUUAAGAGUGAUUAUGUCUAGGUGACUAUAGUUUUCUUCCAUAUUUUUGAAGUAUUCUAACAUGAAAAAUUUAUAUCUGGAAAAGUUAUCUUAAUAUGAGAUAAUGUUCUGUUAUUUAUUUUUUAUUUAUAUAAAGUGUUUAUUUCUCUUUUGCCUCACAUUCUUGGGACUCUUCUCUAUUUAUAAUAGGCAUGUAUAACCAAACCUGUAACCUCUGGCCUCCGAUGAAACAGGGAGAAUUUAAGAUAAGGGAAUUCCCUUAGCUGAGAAUGUGGAGGUUGGGAGAGGAAUGACAGCAUCACUCAUAGCUGUUCUCACAUGAGCAAAAUGAAGUAAAUGUUGAGAAGACUGUUGGACAAGUUUCAGGACUAUAUAUGGAUGUGAUCUGCAGAUACAAAGACUGGACAGUUGCUCUGGCUGCUGUCUUCUGAGUCACUGAUUCUCAAACCUACCUCCACCUUGGAAUCAAGGUGUGCCAGGGUAUAUCUCAGAUCAAAUAAAUACGAAUCUCCAAGGAAUGGAAACUGGGUCUCUGGAGUUCUUUUAAGCUCUCCAGGUGAUUCUAAUAUGGAUUCAAGAUUGAGAACCAUCAAGGUUUUCUUUGCAUGCAAUAUGGAAAUAAUUAAACCAUAAUCCCCCUAGAUUGGCAAUUGUGCCACCUGGUAGACCCAGUUUAAGAAGUAGCUAUCAGAACAGAAUCACAUAUUACAGCCAUCUGACCUCUUUUGAGGUCAACACAGUUGAACCAUCCCACAGGAAGAUUUGCACUGGGAAGUCAUUGUAUCUGUGUUCCUGAACAUCGUGGUUAUGUUGGAAAAAGUGCAAGCUCUGGAGGCAAACAGACCCAAUCUUCCCAGUGAUUAGCUGGUUCAGAUCCUGUUAGAUGCCCCGCCUCUUACUUCACCCACCACAGAGGCAACCAGAUCUACGGAGGUAGCCAGAUCUGCACAGACCUGGAAAGCCUUCAGCACCUGCAACUCCGACUGGGCUGUACAUCUCCUUGGAACUUAGUCAAUGCUGACCACUGGGGAAAGAGAAACAUGGAGAUGUGACUUCCCCUGCCCAGGCUGUUAUUUUGGGACCUUUCUUAAAGCUCCCCAGAAGGUCCUAUAAGCUCUGCGCAGUGGCCAUCUGGAUGGAGCAUCCUUGUUUUGUUUUUUCUCUUCUUUCUGCUGCACACUGUGGCCUUAGAUCAUUGUCCCUGGACUUACAUUCUCAAUAUGCUAUCUGCAUGCACCACUUCAUUCAUCACAGGCUUUUAUUUCAAGAAAAAAACAGUCUGGAUACUAGCUCUGUCCUGUGUACAGAGUUAUUUUAUUUUUCUGAGACAAUGUUUAGAGCAGAAAUAUGGUAGUAUCUUUUACAUAGUUUCUAAGAAUUAAAUAAAACAAAAAUAAAAUUGAUAGAUGCCUUGUAAUGGCUAGCUGAUUGUGCUAGGUCCAGUAGUAAGAGUUUUGAAAUAGAUGGUUAUUUACUACUCAUUUCAGCUCUAUAAAGAAAGUGUUUUUUUCACCAGUUGUAAACAUAGAAAUUGAGGUAUAAAGAGGUUGACUACAUUUUCCUAAGAUUCUAAUUUACUCAGAGGCAGAGCUAAGAUUUAAGCCGAGCUGUCUGACUCCAGAAGCAGGUGAGAUAUUUUCCCAGAAUGCUGUCUUCCUUUCAUUCUCUACCAUUUCCCAUCUCCUGAAUAAGAGAAAACAAACAAAUAAAAAUAGAGUUAAUUAUCCUCUCAAGAGUACAGUGUCCCAUUUGGCCAGACACAGUUUAAGAUAAAAGCAGGUCAUGUAUGGCCCUGAUAUGUCCUUAAUCUCCCCCGUCCGCUUCUCUGAGUUCAGAUAGGAUGUGGAUGGGCUCGCUCUGCCAGGGAAACAAAAACACCUUCCAUAGAUGGGCCCCAGCAGCUCAUACUUCAUGUGCUAUGGAAGGUCAUAAUAGAGCAGAGGAGUCAACUCACACUCAUUGUCUGCAGUUGCAGAGAUAGUAAUCACAUUUUAAAAGGCUUCCAGAAAAAAAUCUAAUUUUUAGUCAUUUUGGUCUUUUGCAAAAAGUUCCUUUUGUGUGUGUGCAGUGUUUUCCCUAUUCUUUCUCUCCCAACCAUGGCAAUCCCUCAUCUAUUGAUUGAUCAAUUGAUUGAUUGAGACAGGGCCUCCCUUUGUUGUCCAGGCUCUCAAGUGUAAUGUCGCCAUCUUGACCCACUGCAACAUCUGCGUCCCCGCCUCAAGCCUAUAGUCUAGUGGUCCUCCCCACUUUUUGGCACCAGGGACCUGUUUCAUGGAAGACAGUUUUUCCAGGGAGUGGGGUGGGGGUGAUGGUUUUAGAAUAAUUCAACCUCAUUACAUUAUUGUGCACUUUAUUUCUAUUAUUAUUACAUUGUAGUAUAUAAUGAAACAAUUGUACAACUCACCAUAAUGUAGACUCAGAGGGAGUCCUGAGCUAGACAGUUCCAUCUGGGGAUGAUGGGAGACAACAAUAGAUCAUCAGGCAUUAGAUUCUCAUAAGAAGUGUGCAACCUGGAUCCAUCACAUGUGCAGUUCACAAUAGGGUUAUGCUCCUAUGGGGAUCUAAUGCCACCACUAGUCUGACAGGAGGUAGUGCUCAGGUGGUAAUGUGAGUGAUGGGGAGAGGUCAUAAAUACAGAUGAAACUUCACUUGCUCACCUGCAGCUCACUUCCUGCUAUGCAGCAGUGUCCUAACAGACAGGGACCAGUACUGGGGAUUGGGGACCCCUGCUAUAGUCAAUUCAGUCAAGAGUUUCAACAUAGGACAUAAAAUUCACUUUUUUGCUUUUGGGCUAAUCCAACAUAAAUUUGGGGUAACACUAUAUUGUGCUACAAACAAUGUUUUAUUAAUUCAGUAAAUCCAUGGAAUAGAAAUAUUUUUUAUCAAAUUCAGUGUGGUGCAUACAUAGUUCCUAAGCCAUCCCCACACACUACUAGAAUGUAUCAAAAAAUAGAAUCAGUUAUUGUUAGAGCUGAUGAAAUAUAUAAAUAUACGUAUACCCAAAGUAACUUAACUACAAUUUGUGUGUGCGUGUGACAAAGCUGAUGUGGAAGUAAAAAUAAUUAAAAAAAACUUGAGAUAAAGGUAUGUGUUUUUUCUGUUUGCUGCCCCCACACUUGAAUUUUAAAAUGUCUGAGAUUUAGAGAAAUGUAUUUAUGAAUAACCACAAGUGACUGACAAAGAUAGUUACAUUUUCAGAGAAGCUUUGGUUACAUUGUGUUCAAAUCAGUCAAAAAAAUGCUAAUCAAAAUACUCAACAAAUACAGCACCAAAAGCAUUUUUUAGUAACAAAGUGAGCAAGCAGAAAAACAUUGACCUUUAUUCUAUAAAACUAAGUCAAAUAAAUGGUGAGAACUAAAAUAACAUAGAUAAUUUAAUUUUGGAAUUCCAUAAUUGUACUUUGGAAUAUUACGAUUUUGGGAAAGAAUUUUCAUUAUAGUUCUCAUAUACAAUUCGAUACACUCCUAUUCUGUUUCAUAGAAGAAUAAAUAAAGUGGAUUCCCCAACAAUCUGCAGCAAACAAACCCACUUAUGCUAGUUUGUUUCAUGACAAAUUGAGGCAUUCUGAUUCACUGAGACGCAGAUGUGCUACUCUCUACUGUCUACCUUAAUGCAAGUAACCAGUUUUAUGCAUAAACCUACUAUAUUUGCAGGUUAUGUCUCUUUCUUUAGAUUUAAGUUUUUGUUUGCUCAUUUGUUUUGGCAGACCCUAUUUAGGGAGGUAGUACAAACCAACUGAAAGGACCAAGGACUAAAAAACUUUUGUAAUCUUUAACAAACUCUCAGUGUUCUCAUUUAUAAAAUGAGAAUUAAUUAAACUCACUUAUACACAUAGUGAUUAUAUAUAUAUAUAUAUACACACCAGAAAAGGCUUUGUUAAAAUGCAGUUAACAUCUGAAUUGACUCUUGAAUGUUGCGUUGGAUUUUGUCAGAAAAAUAAGAAGGGGAGUUUUUCCAAGAUGAUGGAAAAGCAGAUAGAAGCCUGGCUAUGCAAAAAUAUUAUAGGGUCUCGUGUGCUCUAAAAUCACAUAUAAGAUUAAAGAAUUCUUCAUUGCAUUAGUGAUUUAGAUGAAGAAAUGCCUUGAUGUACAACACCGACCUAUUUUUAGGGAGUUGGAAUUGUAGGAGUACAAUGUUACAGCUUCCCAUCGUUUAUCUUGAUUUCAAUGAAAAGAUAUGGCAUCAAUUGAAGAACAAACUAGCUAAACACUGGUUGAAUUCUGUAACUAUAUAAAAUGCGACUGAUCACCUUUCAAGGUCACAGCCCCACCUCAGCUAAUCAUUUGACCUGCACAUGUACCCCAGAACCUAAAAUAAAAUUUAAAAAAAAUACAAUGAAUGUUUUUCUCUCUCUCAAUAUAUAUAGAUGAUAUAUAGAUAAAAGGGGAGUUUAUUAAGUAUUAACUUACAUGAUCACAAGGUCCCACAAUAGGGUGUCUGCAAACUGAGGAGAAAGGAGAACCAGUCCAUGUCUCAAAACUGAAGAACUUGGGAGUCCGAUAUUCAAGGGCAGGAAGCAUCCAGCAUGGAAGAAAGAUGUAGUAGGCUUGGAGGAUAGGCCUAUCUCUUUCUUUCACAUUUUUCUGCCUGCUUCAUAUUUCAGUGAAAGCUGAUUAAAUUGUGCCUACCAGAUUAAGAGUGGAUCUGCCUUCCCCAGCCCCCUGACUCAAAUUUUAAUCUCUUUUGGUUACACCCACACAGACACACCCAGGUUCAAUACUUUGCAUCCCUCAAUCCAAUCAAGUUGACACUUAGUAUUAACCAACACAGCAAUCUUCUGUUAAAGCCUGCUGCAUAUCACUCAUUGAAUGCAUGGGGGCUCAAAGACCAGGGAGAAAGUCUGAUGGGGCAACCAGACUAUAACAGCAAUGUAAUCACUGGUGUGACAAAAAUUGGUUUAAAAAACUGCAGGAGGAAAGAAAAGACUUCAUUAAAAUACAGUUAACAUCCAAAUUGACUCUUGAAUGUUGAGUUGGAUUUUGUCAGAAAAAUAAGAAGGGAAGUGUCUUCAGGAAGACGAAAAAGCAAAUAGAAGCCUGGAUAUGCAAAAAUAUUAUAGGGUCUCGUGUGCCCUAAAAUUACAUAGAAAAUUAAAGUAUUCUUCAUUAUGUUAGUGAGUUAGAUGAAGAAGUACCUUGAUGUACAACACCGACCUAUUUUUAGGGAGUUGGAAUUGUAGGAGUACAAUGUUAUUGCAAAGACUCUUCCCAUCGCUUAUCCCAAUUUCAGUAAAAAGGUAUGGCAUCAAGUCCACUGAAGAAGGGACAUGAGCUAAACACUGGUUGAAUUCCAUAACUGUGCAGGUGCUAUAUAAAAUGCAACUGGUCACCUUUCAAGGUCAUGGUGCCAACUCCACUAAUCAUUUAAAAAUAGAAUGAGUCAGGAAUUGCUCAGUCUUGCUUGGAGUGGAGGAGAAACUAGGCAGCCUCCUGAGAUUCUUACCAAUUAUAUGCUCCCAAGCUAAGAGACAACAUGGAAAUUCAUGAAGAUUUAGAUAAGCUCAUGCUGUCAAAAUAUUUUCAUGAAACAGCCUUUACCAGUUUUCUUUCUUUCCCCUUUAAUGUAUCUCUGUUACCUCUGGAACACAUAAACACAUCCCUCUGCUUUAUAUAUCAUUGAGAGCUUCUUCCAGCCUAGUCACAACGCCAUUCUAUUCCUAACACCUUACUCCAGUCAAACUAAUUUACAUUUACCUCCCCUUUUAUGUGUUUGCCUUCAUACCAAUCUCCCCAGUCCAGAUGAAUUUCCCUUUCCCUUUCUUCUUAAACCUCUUUCGGACCCUACUUCAGUCCAGUUUGUGUGUGUGUGUGUGUGUGUGUGUGUGUGUGUGUGUGUUACAUCAGUUAAACAAAUAUAGUAUUUCUGAUCCACUUUUAGUAACAUAUUGCACUGUGUCAAAUAGUGCUUCUUUUGCACACAGCUAGUUCUCCCCAGAAUGUAUAUUACUACACACGUGUUGUUUUUCAUUUUUUAUUGAUUUUCUUUCCCUCAGCUAUGGAAUAUAACCAGGAUUGGAUAAUUCACCACUUAGGGAGUGUGGCAACAUUUUGCAUUUUUAGUAUUUGUUUGUUCACUUAGUACUUUUAAAUCCUGAAUUAUUUACAUGCCAAGGGGAUUACCCUGCAUAAAUAUUACAACACUGACAAUAGGGUCUUAGCUUUUCUCAUAAUCAUUCCUUUUGGCAGGAGGUGGGAUAAAGCUUAUACCUUAAAGAGCCACUGUGGUUUUUAAAAGGUCACAUUUGGCCAGCCAUAAUUUAUUCCGUGUGUCUUUCAGUAACUGACAGGAGUGAUUCAGUUGACAGAACUCGAUUGUUUCUUCCCAUAAAAGAUUUCACAGAUCUUCAUAAGGAGGUAUAAUUUCCAAACUGCACAAACCUGGAUGAAGAGAAAAAUCAAUAUGAUGGAUUGAAAAAUGAAAAAGUAACAAAUUUGAGAAGCUAAACCAGCUUCUUAGAGAACAAAAGAAAAUAUACACCUGAUUUUCAGCAGAAAUAACCGUUUGAAAAAUGUUUGCUUUUCCCCUCCUCAUAUCUGUGAAUUAAUAACUUUAAGAAGUAGAAAUACAAUUAAUAAGGCACUUAGGGAUUAUGCAAUAUUGAAAAACCUUAAUUUUUUUAUACAUGUUUGAGCUAACAUAAAUAUUUUAAGAAAGAAAAUAAACGCACUGGACAAGUAAAAUAACCUUUUUUCCCCUGUAAUAAAAAUAGCAAAAAACAACAAACAACUAUUCCCUGAAAUAUGAAAAUACUUUGGCAACAUUUUUUGUAGUUGAUUUUUUGUUACAUUAUCUAAGACGUGAUCUAGGAUCUCUAAGGCAUAUAAAGAAGACUGCUUGUUAGAGCACAGGAGCUUUUGUAAACCGUUUUUAGAGGUUUAGAACAAUCCAUAUUUUGACCAUUUUUCUGGUUUUGAAAAUGUGGCGAUAUUUAUACCGAGUUCAUAUAUUAUGAAAUGUGAGGAUUAUAUCCAUGAUUUCAGAAAAUCAUAUAUUAUUUCAUUUUAUGUUCCCAAGGACUGAGAUUGUCUUUUAAAAUGGAAAUAAAGUAUCAAUAUGGAAAACUUUCAUAUUCUAAUUACACAAAUGGCCAAAAUUUUACAAACUGAAUAUACAUUUGUAACCAGCACCCAUUCAGGGAACGAAUGAAGUUACUUUCCCCUUCAGGGAAAGGACAUAAUCAGUGUCAUAGCUUCAAAGUGUUCAAAUGUUUGAAUCCUAAAGCCUCAGUGUGACUCGGGAGUCUUCUACUUCAGGGCCCUCAACAGGAGGUAAACAGGAAAUGGAGAAUAAAUGUAUUGACUCUGGUGAAUUGGCAUAUUUAACGACAUAAACCACAUUUUUCUUUAGACACCAUAAUGAAAAUUUAAAAUUCUCAGUUUUUCAUGCAUCAUUAUUCAAAGCCAUUGUGGAAUUGUUUUCAACACAGUGUCUCUAAAUAAUAGAACCCAUACCCAUAUAAAAAGCUUGUUCUACAAUGAUAAUCUGUUGUAAUUAUAUUGAUCUCUGAUUUUCAUUUAUGAAUGCUAAAGAAAUUAACAUUACUGGGUUUUGCAGAUGAAGGACCAGAACUGAUUCUUAGUGCCAAGUAUGGUUUUGACUGUGUUUCUGGAUGCUGUGAGUUUCAUAUUAAACCUCUGAGGGUCCUUAACCUCCUCCUGCUAAUUCCAAAACCCCUCAGGAGUCCAGAAGCUCUAUUUGCUAAUCAGUCCCAUUUGUUUGUCAGAUAAAUUAGUUUGUACCUAAUCUGGGAGACAAAGGUGGUUUACUUAAGGUUGUCCUCUCUGCUAUCCUUUUCCUUCAACUGGAAGGACAUGGCUGCUACUCUCCUUCCUAGAAAUCAUCUCUCCUUCGCAGUCAGACCAGGAACACCUGUGUCAAACUCUUUCCGCACAAGUCGCUUCCAGCUCCACCUCCACAGUGCACACAGAUUCCCUCUGAUCUCUCUCUAGUAACAGACCAUUUUUUCAUUCCUGGUUUCCCAAAUGUUUUGAAACUGACAUUCAAUUUGAAGACUAUACGGUGAUGAUGAUGGUGGUGAUUAUAUCAUUUUAUAACCAACACUUUCUUAUGUGUUUCCUGGACAUCCACUUUAGGCCCUAUUUGCCUGGGUGUCACCAGUGGAGUCCGCAGAAUAGCAAAGAUUGCUGCCUGUUCCUUUCUCUGGACCUAGGGGCACCCACCAGAUGCCAGCCAGAGCUCUCAUGUAUGAGGUGUCAUUCGACCCCUGCUGGGAGGUGUCUCCUAGUCAGGAGGCACAGAGGUCAGGGACCCACUUGAGGAGGCAGUCUGUCCCUUAGUAGAGCUCAAGUACUGUGCUGGGAGCCCAAGGGGUCUGGGAACUCCCUCGUUUAGCCAAGGGAGGCUGUGAGGGACUGUGCCAUGAGGAAUGGUGCUAUCUGACCCAGAUACUAUGCUUUUUCCAUGGUCUUCUCAACCUGUAGACCAGGAGAUUCCCUUGGGUGCCUAUGCAACCAGGACCCUGGGUUUCAAGCAAAAAACUGGGCAGCCAUUUGGGCAGACACCUAGCUAGCUGCAGGAGCUUUUUUCAUGCCCCAAUGGCACCUGGAACUCCAGUGAGACAGAAUUGUUCACUACCGUGGAAAGGGGGCUGAAGCCAGGAAGCCAAGUAGUCUAGCUCAGCAGAUCCCACCCCUAUGAAGCACAGCAAGCUAAGAUCCACUGGCUUGAAAUUCUUGCUGCCAGCACAGCAGUCUAAAGUUGACCUGGGAUGCUCGAGCUAGGUAACAUGUAAUUUUAUUGGCCAUAUUUUUAAUUUAAGUUGUUGUGAUUACAAGUUGAAUUGUAGAGAAUGAGUAGAAUACUAGAAAACUAGGAAAAAGGGGUUUUCUUUUAGAAAACUAGGAAAAGACAAAGAAGUCUGUUGACGACAGGUAAUAGGCUUCAGCUGAGCACUUGACCCAAGCUGAACCAAUUAGAACCCUUCCUUGGGAUUUUUGAAGGAAAUGGUAUCUCUUGGCUACAUUGUAAGCAAAUGUCUGGAAUAGGUAACAACCAGAUCCUCUGUCAUCUGUAUCAAGCCAGUCUGACAAGAAAAAGUAAAUCCACCAACCCACAGAGCAAAGCACAGAUAAGGAUGGACAACAAACACCCUGCCUGCCGUCCACAUAUUCCUGAGGACCAGUUAUGCUUGUUUCUACUAUCAUUUGAUUAUGUGAAAAAAAUUCACAAUUAAUAAAAGUCCUGUUUUUAAUAGGAAAAAUUUUUUUUUAACAAUUUCCUGGUAGAACAACCAGUAAUAAGUGCCAAAGCCUUUAAGAUAGAAUUUUAUUUCUCAAAAUUAAUUCUAUAGGAUAUCAGAUAGUCUCAGAAACAGGAAUAUAUGGAGAUUUUCCUCACGAAUUUAUUUAUAGUAGCAAAAAUCAAGAAAUAUCCUAGAGGAUAUAGGUCAUUGUAUAACACAUGAUGUAUUUAUAAAUUAUAAUUUUGUAAAAUAAUUAAUGUGUUUGAUGAAAAAUGAAUUAUGUGAAAAUGCAUAUAAUAUAAUGCCAUGUUAAAAUUUUAAAAAUACACAGAGGCCAGGUGUAUGGCUCAUGCCUAUAAUCCCAACACUUUGGUAGGCCAAGGCAAUAGGUUUGUUUGGACCCAGGAGUUUGAAAGCAGCCUAGGAAACAUAGCAAGAUCCUAUCUCUAUAAAGUAUGUAUUUUUUAAAAUUAGCCAGGCAUGGCGGUGCAUGCCUAUAGUCCCAGAUACUCAGGAGGCUGAGGUGAUUGGAUCACUUGAGCUCAGGAGGUCAAGGCUGCAGACUCUGUCUCAAAUAAGUAAAUAAGUAAACUAAAAAACAAACAUAAAAUUAUUUCACCAUAAAAGUACUAUAUUCCCAUAGUUAAAAAAAAUACAAACAUAUAGAAAGGAAUCACAUGACAUAAAAGUUUUCUUCUAGCUCUUUCUUUCCAAUUCACUCCCCAGAAAUAGCCACUGUUCAGUUUCUGUGAUGUAUUUGGUAAUAUCUCUAUCUUUUUAAUAAUGCAGGUCCACCUGUGCAUUUUGGUUUGCUGUGAAAUCUUGGGGAGCUUGGAGUACUUUCCCCAUCACCCAGUUCUUCUGUAUCUCUCAACUUCGGGAGAUCAGAGAGAGAGAGAGAGAGAGAAGAACAGGAAGAACGAAGAAAGAAGACAAAAGAAAGAGAGAAGUAGAAAGAAUUCAAGAACGAUUUUGUGCAUGUGUGGAAGUAUUGGUUUUUCCUGACACAAAGGAGAGUGCUUUGUCAUUGUUUUCUUUAUAACAUUGAUGGAUUUCUUGUUGAGUGGGUAUUGGGCUUUAGUUAAACAUGACAGAAGCAGAGAUUUAUAGAUAGCUGUCUCAGAGGCUGUUUGAAAGGCCACAUAAUGUCUCAGGGCACAAAUGUGUUUUCAGUGUUCACUUCUGGUAAACAACCAACAAUUUCAUACACUCCACCCCUUGGCCCUGAUUAGAGCACUUUCCUUGAAAAAUGAAGUAGACCCUUGAUGAAAUCCGAAGCUAGGGCAGAAGAGAAGGUAGGAAGUGGGUUUGGUUUUUGUUGUUUUGUUUUCUGUUUUUUGUUUGUUUUCUUAUUUCAACUUAAACAUUCACAGGAAGAACUGUGAUAUACAUGUUGUCCUAUGUUUUGUAUUCUAUAGAAAGACAAUAUUCUGGAUGAUGAAUUGUGUUCUAAAGACCAUUAAUUUCCUCCUUAUAACUGAUAGCUCUAGAGAAAUUCUACCUAUCUGUGCAUAUAUAUGUGUGUGUGUGUAUAUAUACAUAUAUAUGUGUGUGUGUGUAUAUAUAUACAUAUAUAUGUGUGUGUGUGUAUAUAUACAUAUAUAUGUGUGUGUGUGUGUGUAUACAUAUAUACACACACACACACAUACACAUAUUAUAUAUAUAUGAAAUAUGUGUAUAAUGUUUCUUGGUGAGAGCAAAAAUGUAAAAAUUAGGAGUUAGACACAAACAUAUCACUGGAUGCUUCUCUCUUCCUCUCUGUCUCUUAUUCUCUCAGUCUCAUGCAUGGAUUGUACAAUCAGUUAUAGUAUUCUUUUUAACUCAAAACACAUCAAAAGCUUUUAUCAUGUUAUUAUAAAUCAUGUAGUUCCUGUGCCAAAAUGUUCUUAGUCCUCUGAUUUCAGAUUCCCUGUGUUUUCAGUGCUUCACAACUUUUUAUAGUACAGAAAUCAGGAUUUUUUUCCAUAAAACCUUUUUUCUGCAUUUAGUAUUAUUUCCUUAGUCAAGAUCCUAUUAAGUGAACUAAGUUGGUAUGAACAUUUUCAGGACUUAUUAUUCAUAUUGACAAGUGGCUUUUCAAAAAUCUUUUAUCAAUUUAUAUUCCUACAAGAGUCACUUUUCCAUACCCUCACCAGCAGAGGAAACUUUCAGCUUUUAAAAAUAUUUUGCUAAUUAUUUUUAAAUGUUUAAAAUUAACUAGUAAGGCUGAACAAACCCAUUUUAUUAACUAUUUAAAAAAUAGUUUGCCUCCUAAAUCUUAAUAAAAUCUUAGUGUUUCUUUUUUAUGACAAAUUUUAUAUAUCAAAGGUACUGUCACAGUAUCCUCAAAUAUUUAUUUGCCAGAUUGCAUUUGCCUUUAGGUUUGUAUUAUUUUUCAAAGGCUUUGUUCAUUUGCAUCUUUAUUAAGAUCAAGCAGAAGGAGAAAUCUUAGUAGUAUAUUUUGAAAAUGUAGUGAGAGUCCUUAUCAAGAAACAGGAAGUGAAAAGAGUUCAACAAUAGCCAAAUAAAUGGUAGGGGCAGACAAGUGUCCUCUUUGUUUAGAUAAAGAGGCAAACCCCAGCAAAAGAGCACUUUCGGCCCGGUGUGGGGUGGCUCAAGCCUGUAAUCCCAGCACUUUGGGAGGCCGAGGUGGGUGGAUUAUAAGGUCAAGAGAUCGAGACCAUCCUGGUCAACAUGGUGAAACCCCGUCUCUACUAAAAAACUAUAAACAAUUAGCUGGGCAUUGUGGCACGUGCCUGUAGUCCCAGCUACUCAGGUGGCUGAGGCAGGAGAAUUGCCUGAACCCAGGAGGCGGAGGUUGUGGUGAGCCAAGAUUGCGCCAUUGCACUCCAGCCUGGGUAAUAAGAGCGAAACUCCGUUUCAAAAAAAAAAAAAAAAAAAAAGAGCACUUUCAAACUCAAAGUAUAAGUUUUAGAUCCUGCAGUAUACCUUUGCAGGUUCUUAAGUUUACCAACCUGUCAAGGGCAAAUAGAACUAAAAUUUUUAUGCUGUCGUGUAAUAGUGUACUACUUUCCCUUGGUGUCCUUGGUGGGGAAAGGAAAUAAAAGUUGUAUUUUUCCCAUGUGGUACUGACUAGGAGUGAGGGAAAAGGGGGAAAGGGAGACUCUCCAGAGGGGAACAACGACCUUGCUGCCUCCCAAAGUGAGUUUCUUCUCUUCACCUGAGCUUGUCAGGAGGCAUCUCAUCACCAGCUCAGCUGGCAGGGAAAGGCAGGGACGUGGUGAACCAUGCUAAGUAGGAAUGCCUUUCCACACUGUGGUCAUUCAGAUUACAGCACAUUUACCAUGUCUGGAAACCCGAUGGUAGCAGAAACAGUAACUAGUGUUCAAAAGAACAGUCUCCCGAAAACAUCAGGGCUGUGUCAGAAUUAACUAUUUUUCUAUUCAUUUCUGUAAAAGCAUAUGUCCAGUUUAGAUAGUUAAAAUAGAAACAGCUAACAAGUUACUUAGAUAAGAUAGUUUUAUAAAGGUGUCCAGAAUUAAAGGGAAGAACUGGAACCAUUUGGGCCCCAUAGAAUUACCUGAUGGUUCAUUUAACAGCCAUGAGUCAAAAACGACUAUUAUGUACCGUCUAUACCAUCUACACUGUGCUUGGCUCUAAGGAUAUAAGGACAAAGAAACGUCUGGUUUUGACUUUUCAUUGUUCAUUAGCAGCCAGGACAGUCAUAGGAUGAUAAAAAUGGUUUUAAAAAUUAAUCUGUUUUGAACGCUCUCUCUUCUUAACACCCAGAUUCUUAUUUUUGUAUUAGAUGUAAAGAUUUAGUAGAAAAAUAAUUUGAAGUUCACAGAAACCAUCUGGAAGCAUCUCAUAAAAGUGAAUGAUAUUGUUUGGCUCUGUGUCCCCACCCAGAUACCAUCUUGAAUUGCAGCUCUCAUAAUUCCCAGAUGUUGUGGGAGGGACUGGGUGGGAGAUAAUUGAACCAUUGAGGCAGGUUCCCCCAUACUGUUCUCAUGGUAGUGAAUAAGUCUCACAGGAUCUGACAGUGAUAUAAGGGGUUUCCACUUUCCCUUCUCUCUCAUUCUUUCUUGGUGCUUCCACUUAAGAAGUGCCUUUUGCCUUCCCCCAUGAUUAUGAGGCCUCCCAGCCAUGUAGAACUGUGAGUCCAUUAAACCUCUUUAUCUUCCCAGUUGGGUAUAUCUUUAUCAGUAGCAUGAAAACAGACUAUAGCCGGGCGCGGUGGCUCAUGCCUGUAAUCCCAGCACAUUGAGGGGCCGAGGCGGGUGGAUCACGAGGGCAAGAGAUCAAGACCAUCCUGGUCAACAUGGUGAAACCCCGUCUCUACUGAAAAUACAAAAAAUUAGCUGGGUACGGUGGCCCGUGCCUAUGAUCCCAGCUACUCAGGAGGCUGAGGGAGGAUAAUUGCCUGAACCCAGGAGGCGGAGGUUGCGGUGAGCCGAGAUCGCACCAUUGCACUCCAGCCUGGGUAACAAGAGCGAAACUCUGUCCCCCCCCAAAAAAAUGAAAAGAAAAAAAAAACAAACUUUCUUACAGUGCAUUUUCAGCAUGCCUACUUUAAAAGAAAUGGUUAAUAUGUACCAAAUUUUCAUUAGCAUGACCAAUGCCCACCAAUGUCACUCUAAGUCUAAACCACUGAAGUAUGCAUGGAUGGCCAAAAUGUUCUGACCUAGCCUGAAAAGCUAGGACACCACAUAGCAGGUACUGUAGAUUCAUCAUGUUCAACACACUCUGGACUUCUAGCCUGAUUGACACUGGCUUUCUGAGUGCUUCUUGACAGCAAUAUGUUGUCGAUAGGAUUUACAUCAAAUGUUAUUUAUUUUCUAUUAAGUAACAAUAGUAUAAAUAGACUAAACUCUUGGUUGAGAAUUUGAAAAAGAAAAGGAAAUUUUAGAUUAGCCAUAGGAGGAAGAAAGAAGAAAGUCUUUGAGGAUUGAUUAUUUGGAUACCUAGUUUAGCACAAUGGUCAUUUUAUUACGAAUCUAUUAACUCCUAAAUACUAACACAGUUUAGCUCAAUGAUUAAGGUGAAGGUCUUUAGAACAUGGCAGGAAUUUGUCUGAAUUCCGGCACUCACUGGGAACUUGUUCUGCAGUCUUCAGUAAGCUGGUUGGCCUCCCAAAACCUUCACUUCUCCUAAGGAAAAUAGGAAUAGUAAUGCCUAUUUCAUAGGGUUAUAUUGAGGAUUAAUGAAUACAUUAUUUUAAAAACAUUUUUUUUAAAUGCCAGAUUCAACAACCCUUUGCUUAUUUUCUAUAAUUACUUUAAAGAUAUUAAGUAGUGGUUGACCUUAGCUUUAAGCAGGCCUGGGCCAUUUGUGAAUUUCUGGUUGUCUCUCAGCUGUAACAAACUCUAUCUGCUUUUGAAGAUCCAGGGUCUUCCACAGCCAAGAGAUAGAAUAAAUAUCUCUUGGGGAAGAGGUGGUCAUUUCUUGGCCUCAAACUCCUUGACUUGAACACCGAUCUCUCCCUCUGGUAUAAGGACCCAGGACCUCUUCUCAUCUUGCUCACCUCCUGGAUCCAGAUCUCUGAUUUAUUUUGGAUCUCACGUCCACUGGAACUCUAAUCUCAGCCAGCUGGCCCCAUUCCCAGUUGCAGCCUGGCAAACUCUGCCCUUCUGCUCCCCGGGUAUUACCUGCACCUUCUUCAUGAGUCUGAUGUUCCAUGAGAAGUUACUUAGAUAAGCUAGGUGGAUAGACCACCAGGUUUUUGUUUCCAAGGUUUAAGAAAGAAUAUACAUGAUUGCUCAACAGAUAAUAAGUUGCAUUGGAACUAAUGAUUUUAACAGUAGGCUUUUAAAGUAAAGACAUUGUGGCUAAAUAAACUCUAGACCAUGAGACAAAAGACCUAUAUCUGCAUUCGCUGUAAAUUUAACACAGAGCAGUGAAAGUUAACAGAUCUCCAUCACAUCUAAUGUCUCCUGUCACCAAAACAGGAGUUUUAUCCAGUAAGGUCCCUGGCACAUAGUAAAUACAUGCUAAGUAUUUGUUGAAUUUAUACAUAAAUGACAGCAAGAGAUGAAAAGAUGGUACAAUUCAGUAUUACUGUUAUUCCAAGUUCUUCUCUGGGUCAUCAUCUUUAUCUUUUCAUUAGGGAGUGGUUUUUUUUUUUUUUUUUUUUUUGAGACGGAGUUUCGCUCUUGUUACCCAGGCUGGAGUGCAAUGGCGCAAUCUCGGCUCACCGCAACCUCCGCCCCCUGGGUUCAGGCAAUUCUCCUGCCUCAGCCUCCCGAGUAGCUGGGAUUACAGGCACGCGCCACCAUGCCCAGCUAAUUUUUUGUAAUUUUUAGUAGAGACGGGGUUUCACCAUGUUGACCAGGAUGGUCUCGAUCUGUUGACCUUGUGAUCCACCCGCCUCGGCCUCCCAAAGUGCUGGGAUUACAGGCUUGAGCCACCGCGCCCGGCCAGGGAGUGGUUUUAUGGCUUCUCCUGUUAAACUUUAAUACUGUACAACCCCUCUUGCUCGUAGAAAGCCCUAACAGAGAAAAUGUAAAGUUUCUAAAGGAAAGUGUGCCAAUUAAUUUUAUUUUUUCCUCUUGCUAUCUUUACAACUGUAUUUUCCUUUGGUAUUGAAGAUAAAAGAUUUUAUUUUGAAUUUCAAAAGUUUUAUACAUAUAUUGAUAUAUGCCUAUAUAUGUGUAGGUAUUUAUGGUUUUAAGUAAAUAGAAUGCUUUCAUUUUUCCUUUUGAGUUGUCUAAGAGGACAACUCUAUGUGUUUUUACUCAAAGUCAUGUAACUUGGGGGACAGUAGGAGAGAGGGACCCAGCAACUCAAGCUUCUGAUCAUGUGACAGUAAGCAGAACAUGCUCUCUAGGGCCACGCUGAGCAUGUUAAGGUAAGUUUGCUUCUUUGUGAAUAAAGGGUCAGAUAAAAUAGGGUUCAUGCCUGAGGAGCACAACGGUUGGCCAGGCUGACAGUUGAGAAGAGCUGGGUCUUUGCAGAUCAUUUGAGAGCAUCUCAGGAGUUAUUCAGGGCAACAGAGCCCGGCUCAUGAGUACAGCCCCUCAUCUGGUUGGCCGGUCAGUUUUCAUACACUCUAGAUGCUUUUCAGCUCACCGAAUUGUGUCCUGUCAACCCAAAGCCACUUUUUGAUCUUAACUUUUUACCAUCAAAAUAUGAUGACUUGUCUAAUGUCUAGAUGGUAGCACAAUGAAUGGUAGUAUAAGAAAAGAGUCCUUUUCCUUCCUGACGUGUAUCCUACAGGUGGACUUUUACAUUAUGGUAUCCUUCAUCUUUUGCUGUGUAACAAGCCUUCACAAAACUUAGUGGCUUGAAAAAGCAUUUUUCUCACAAAUAUACAACUUGAGCAAGGCUUGGGAUGAAAGCGGUGGCUAAUCUGCUCCCUCUGGCAUCUGUUGGGGUAUCCCGCUAGGGCUUGGAGGGUUUGCUUUCAAGGCGAAUCACUCACAGAACUGGCAUGUGGAUGCUGGGGUUCAGAUGGGGGCUCAACCGGUGCUGUGAUUUUUUUCCAAGUGGGCUUCUCCAUGGGGGGCAUGGGAUUCCUCACAACAUGGCAGCUGUGUUCUAAAAGAGUAAGUCCUGAAAAAGCAAGUCGGAGUGCUUGGCCUUUAUGAUCCAAACUCAGAAGUCACAUUGUCUCUCUCAACUAGUGAAGGCAGUAAGAAGUUUAAGAGAAGGGGACAUUGGCCAGUACAGUGGCUCAGGCCUGUAAUCCCAGCAGUGUGGGAGGCCAAGAUGGAGGAACCCUCGAGCCCAAGAGUUCAAGACUAGGCAACAUAGCAAGACCCUGUCCUUAACAACAACAACAACAAUUAGCCAGACAUGGUAGUGUGCAUCUGUGGUCCCAGCUAUCUGAGAGACUGAGAUGGAAAAAUCACUUAAGCUUGAGAAAUAAAGGCUUCAGUGAGCCAUGAUGGCGUCAUGGUACCCUACCCGAUACUGGGAGACAGGGCAAAACCCUGUCUCAAACCAACAACCACAAAAACAGUAAGAAAAGAGGUCACAGAUUCUAAUUCUCAACUGCAGAGUGACAGGUUUCUAGAGGUACUUGCGGGAUAGGAGAUACUGCUGUGAGCAUCUAGAGAAAAUACUAUUGUCGCAAUAACUAUUGUGAUGUACAUUUAGAAGAGCUCAUGAAAAAACAUUCCUGGCUUCUGUACUACUGGAAUCAGCAGCUGAAGCUGGCCGCCUCAUACUAAAACAGGGAGACAUUGGUUAGGGUGGUUCAGAACCUUCCCUCUCAGGUAUUCUUGGUCUCAAAAAAAAAAAAAGAAAGAAAGAAAGAAAAGAAAAGAAAAUGAUAGGAAGAAUGUUUUCUGCAAGUGUUAGAUAGUAGUGGCUUUGAAAACAUAAACGCUAGCCUUCAGCCGGCCCCCAGGGUAUGUUUACAAGACUGGGCAAGUCUACCUAAGGCCACAUGAAAAGUUAUGCUUAAGCAAUUUCUCCAGUUUAAAAUAAAGAGAGAGUUUUGAACGUUUGUGACAUAUGGCCGUUCAGUGUUCUCUUGAGAAGAUUUUUAAUUUUCUCUUGUCAAACAAUUACAUUUGAGUAGUUCAGCUCAGAAUGAAAUAUGCAGAAUUUAAAGAGGGUUUUGCAUCAUUCAUACUGUCUCGGUGUUAUUAAUGUCAGGAAAUGAGGCCUGCAUUAGUCUGUAUCAGUCAGAGCUCUUAAUUGCUAGCAAAAGAUACCAUCAGUGGCUGCUUUAAACAUUGGAGGGAUUCCUUGACAGAAUGUUGAGUAAUUCACAGAAUUUCUGAGAAGGCUGUCGAAUCCAGCUUAGGAAACAGUAAAAGAGAGGCUGGACAAGAGUGAGGAGCACAGCUUCUGUCACCCUUGAAACUAGGGUGGUAAGGACGCUGAUGCCAUCUCCACUGAGUGGAGGAGGCCAUUGCAACCACACACUGCAGUCGGUUACCAGCCUCAUUACAAAUGUUGGUCCUAGAAAACUGGAUUUUGCCAUCACCAUAAUCACCACCACCACAGUAGAUUCUCCCCAGUCCCUGGAUUACUAGCUCUGGGUCCAGAGUUUUGGGCCGAUCCAUUUCAUUUGUGAAGUCUAGGCUCUGGGAGAAAAGCUGAUAAAGCAAGCAUCUAGCCUUUUCAGGUUCUUUUAGAGUGAGGCAUGCUCUCUUUUAUGCAGAUCUUGCAAUGGGGAUUUCCUAAAUAAAGAAAGGUAAACAGAAAAGGCAGAUUAUAAAGUUAUCACGCUAAUAGUUUUUCAGGUAACUUUUUCUUGCUGUUUACUAAGGUAAAUUAUAGCCGUUUAUUGAGGGGUGCUACAGGAAAAUUUCUCAGGCAGGCAUGUCUAUAAUACUCCCACUUUUCUUAGUGUUAAUAUAAUAUAUUCUCAGAGCUCUGCAGCAUAAAUUGAAACUGAAGUGCCAGGAAGCAUGAAAAAUAGCAGACUGACAAUAUACUGUGUCAGUGCUUACAAUUAUGGGCUUUUAAUAUCUGGAUCAUUCAACUACUGCAUCGAUGAUGUAUCAAGCCUGGGAGUGGUGUGGCUCUGUGGGCUGGAAGGCUUUACUGCUUCCCCAGAUCUCAGUCCACGACAUUGAUGGGAAUAGUUCCGGGAAGACAGCCCACAGGCAAUUGGGCCCCACCAAUCUUAUAGGACAGAGUCCUGAUAACUAUUAGGCAGGAUGUCUGUGGCACCCUGUUGAGUUAUUCCCAGUAAUAUAUUAUAGAAACAUUAUAAAAACCAAUUUUUAGGAAAUUCUGCAUUUCCUUUAAAAGCAGAUCCAUCUCAAAUGACUAUUCUUGUUUAGAGAGGUGACCAGAUGUAUAAAACUAGACGUUUCCAAUUUAGUAUGUGUUUUAGAAGCCAGAGGAUAUUUUCAAGUUUCUUACUUCACUUUUCUCAUCUUAAAACUGAUCUUACAAUUACAACCCAGAGGUUCCCUGCAAAUUUAAAAUAUUCAUUCAAUUAAUAAUCUUGAAUCUAAUAAAUUGACAAAAGGCAUAAAAAGGAUUUUUAAAAAUGUAAAGAAAAUACUGAUUCAAGUAACUCGACCUCAAAUUAAAACAUGCAAAAGUGCAGGGCUGGUUCUGCUGACUGGGUGUAAUGUAUGUAUUCUCGGUGUUUCAUGAGUACCAUAGAAAACUUGAAACAGAGUUCAGCUUCCUAUCCAAUUUGCAUUCAGUUAUGAUAUGGUCCCCUUUUCCAGACCCCAUCUGGAUAUUCUUUAGUGUUCAACCAUCAGUGCUUCACCGUUGAAGAGAUAUUGCAUCUUUUAAAUAUCACAAUAGACAAGAAGAUAUAAAUGAGAGUUAAUAAUCGUCAAAUGUGCCUAUUUCCUUUUCCUAUAAAUUAGAGCAUGCUUUCCUACUGAAUUUUGCAAGAAGGAAAACAGACUCCCUCCUGCUGAUGUGAGGCGGCAGUGCUAAAUCUCCCUCAAGAUUCGCUUUGGCUUCUUACAACUUUGACAGGCUCUCAAAAGAAGACAGAGAAAUUAACAAAGAGCACUGGUGUAGCAGGGGAAGUAAAAUAUGAAGUGACUUCCCACAGGGAACACCUAAUGACUUCUGGAGAAGAGGAUCAAGAGGAUCUUGUAAGGGAAUUCUAUUUGAUCAUCCUACUUGAAGAAUAAUGAAUGGAAGAUCAGGUCUAUAAAUCCAGAUCUGGAGGAUGGAAGGCCCACGAUAAGGUGCUGACAAGUUUGACCCUUGAGGUUAGAGGCCCAAAGAAUGAAAAAUAAUUUGAAGGCGAAAUUGAAUCCACAUUUGGAAUUUCAGCAAGAACAGGAACAAGGAGGAAGAUUCCAGGGAUAUAAUGCAACUCAUAUUUAUGGAUGUAAUAUUAUAAAGCAUAUUUCAAAAUGUAUGACAACACCACUCCCGCCCUGAUCUUCCUAAUACCAUCACUGUAAUUGCCUUGACAUGAAAUAGCACCAACCCAGCGCUCGGGCUUUGAGGGUGAGGAGACCAAAACUGAGGGCUUCUAGAUGGCUGUCGUGCAAAUGUUCCUCUUGAAGUAUUUUGAAUUUGGGUCAUUCUAAUAGGGUCGGGACAAACUGGCGCCUAACGUGAGAGCUCGAGUACGAGGGACACAGUGAGGGAUGCCGUCGAGGUCAGCUGGCACAGAAGGAUUAAGAAACACGGAGGAAAGAGCAUCAUGGGAACCUGCCACGGACUCACGCUCCGAAACAUGCGGACCUUAAUAUUGAUAUCCCUGAUAAUCGCUCUCAUACCUAAGACCGACAGCGGAUUCGGAUCACAAUAUGAUGUAAGAUCAACUUGACUCCCUAGCCGAAGUAGUCCUGCAAAACCGACGAGGCCUAGAUCUGCUCACCGCCCAGAAGGGAGGACUGUGCCUUGCAUUAGAUGAAAAAUGCUUUUAUGCUAACCGUUCUGAUGUUGUCAGAGAUAAGAUAAAAGCCCUGUAAGAAGACCUGGCAAAAAGAAGAAAAGCACUCUUCGAUAAUCCAUUGUGGGGAGGGUUGAAUGGGUUCCUCCCCUAUAUCCUCCCCCUCCUCGGCCCUUUUGUCGUUUUCCUCCUACUCCUCACUGUUUGUCAAACAACAGAUUGACUCCAUAAAAAUGCAGCCCCUGCAGGUCCAUUAUCAUAAGCUGGAAAUGGCUACAGUGGAAGCUUGAUAAGCACCACCAACCGUUUCUGACAUCGCCUGAUGAGCUGGACCACUUAGCCAAUGACGGGCAACCUGAGAGCCUAGCAGUAAGAUAUGAAUCCCGCUCACCCUAUGACGGGUAAGGGUAAAAAGCAUCACUGCAGGUGUAUCUCUUGACCUAAGACAGGCAUGGUCCUCACAGGCAAUCGGCCACACAAAAAUUAAAUAAAAAGGGGGUACCUGUGGGGAGCAGUAGCCAUCUUGUAACUAUGUUGCUUAAGCUUUUGUUCCUCUUAUCUAAACCUCCAUCUUGUGGGCUUCCCUUAUUUAAGUUUCACAUUAGUCACGAGGCCUCGUCUCCCUGGUUGCUCUCUGACCUCAGCCCUCAGAACUUCCUGCCCUUACUUGUUUAUAAGCAACCGCCUUGUAGCUAAUAAACGAGACUUGAUCAGAUCCUUGACUUGUCUCCAUUCUCUGCGUCUCCUGUCUGUCUAUUUUAAUCCCCACUCCCUCCCUAGGGUGUCUGUUGCUCGUCCCGCAGGUCGGGACACCUGAGUAGCUGGGAAUACAGGUGUGAACCACUGCGUUCAGCUCUGUUAAAAUUUUCAAUAGUACGAAAAUAUAUUAAUUAAAAGUAUAUAUUUGGUUUUAAUUACCUUACAUGAAAACCCUUUCCCUGUAUUUUCUGUUCCACUGAUUAUCUUUUGCUACCUGGUCAGUUUUUUUGAUUGGGUAUAUUUGUCUUGCCAUUGGUUCUGCUUCUUUAGUAAGUACACCAAUUAUUAAUCUCUGCAUCUAUAUUCUCUCUAAUCGUUUUUAUUAUUUUCUUUUUUUUGUUUCUCUCAGACCUGUCUUCCAACUUGAUGGAUAUAUUGGUAACAUUAUCUAUUCUAUUUCUUGCUGCUUUCACUAUGCUUUUUAUUUCUGUAACAAUUUGUUUAUCUGCAUUUUUUGAGACAAUAGGGGACAUAUUGAGAAAGCAUGUGAAGACAUCAGUGGGGCUUACACUGAAUUUGAGCCAAUUCCACAGUUUCUGAAUGGGAUUCCUAGGUGUGGAUAAAUGGACUUAGAGCACAAGACAGCUCAUUGAAACUAAGCUGAUGGAGAGUGAAGAAAGGUAAAGGGACAAAAUAGGGUGACUGCAUUACUUUGGGCUCUCCAGAGAAACAAAACCAUGAAGAUCUAGUUAUAUCUGUCUCUACUUUAAGGAAUUGACUUACCUGAUUGUGGAGGCUGAGAAGUCCAAGAUCUGUAUUCAGCAGGCUGGAGACCUAGAAGAGCCAAUGGUAUAAAUUGCAGUUUUUAUCUGAGUUUCAAGGCAGAAGACCUUUUUAUGUGAGCUAACUAGGAGUUUUGUUUCUGUUUUUUUAUUUUUAAUAGGCAUAAAUAGCAACAAAAACUGCUGUAACAGGAAAUAACACAUUUUAGGAAUAAACUGGUUUCUCCUCCUUAACUGUGGUCUCUCAAACAAGAUGUUAAUCUUUAAUGAUACUACAUGUCCAAUUUUAUCACAAAUAAUACAUAAGUGACAUGAAAUACAUGCUCUGUUAAAAUUGUAUUUCAUAAGUCUAUUCAAUAGAUGGGGGAGAGAAAUCUGCUUAACUCAGUCUCUACAUGAGAUUAACAUUUGAAUGGGCAAACACUAUCAUAGACACCUGGUGACCCCCUAGAAUACUGUUGAACCAAAUAUCUGGGCACCCUGAUUUGUCAAGUGUACAAAUAGAUCAGCAUGUUGGCCUUGUGUGGCCACUUAUCCAUAGAUCUAGUAUGAGAGACCUUCCCUACUGCAUGCAUAAAUGCCUCAGUUUAUCAAGGAGUGCCCUGCAUCCUGGCUCACCCAUACAUGCUCUGCACCUCUAACAUUGGCAGACACAUAUGACAGACAAGAAGGAUGAGAAAUGUUCCCUAAUCCUACACUGCAAAUAGUAGAAAAAGUAAAGAAAUUCAGUGCUAGGCAUGACUGUAAUCAGGGUACAAGGAAGCACUACAAAUAAUCUAAGGCUAAAGAAAUUGCAUAUUAUUCUGUCUUGAGGACUGAUACUUUAAAAGUAUGUACAUGGACAGCAAGGAAGGACUAGGACACUCACUAACUUUAGUAUUCUCUACAUGUUCUUAAAUUCCCAAUAGAGUUAAUCCCUGAAACACAAAUAGUAUCUCCAUUUUAAGUACCUACCUGUAAAGAGUUCAUUUAAAGUAAGCUAGGGGGUCACCAGGUAAUUACAAUAACCACAAAACUACAAAAACUUCAUAACAAUAAAAAUAUACAUUCUCAAACAGAAGACUUCCCAUUAUAGAAUAGCCAAAGUCAAAAGUGAAAGUAAAUCAAAGCAGCUGAGUAUAUAAGCUGCAAAUGUAAAUUAUUCCAUUUACCAGGUUUUUAAAUGAUAGAGAAAUUCAGAGCUCAGCUUAAGUACACA
Callithrix jacchus (white-tufted-ear marmoset) is the source of this 46418-nucleotide non-coding RNA. NCBI's taxonomy places the organism in Eukaryota, Metazoa, Chordata, Mammalia, Primates, Cebidae. The record is from RefSeq and is a predicted model, not a curated record.